AAUCAUUGAAGCAUUGUAAAUAUAAAAAAUAGCAUAAUGUAGUUGUGUUUACCAAUCUAAUAUAUCAAGUUUAUAUCAGAAGCAUUGCAUCGAUACAUACACAUCCAGUACAUAGCAAUUGAUCCAGACAACUACAAAAGGCUUUAGUCCAAAAGCAAGCCAAGACAAUCCAUUAUAACAUAACAAAUACAAUAAACCAGGUCAUGGCAUGUCUUGAUCAAGAGAGAUGCAAUGGGAGAUAAUAAACCUACUUAGUUAGGCUAUACCCUAACACUUGAUAGCUCUACCGGGUUGUCUCCUUGAUUAAAUCCUUACACAUCACGACCUUUGCGCUUUCGUGCCUCUCCAACAGACAUUUUGACAUAUAUAAACACGUCUUGUUUCAGUAAAUAGAUCAAGCAUCCCACUUGGAUAUUCAUACAUGCAACCUGUAAUCUGUAUGGCAACACAAAAAAAUGCAAACAAAUAGAGGCAAUGAGAACCUGAAUGAGAACACUAAUACAUUUGCUUGUGUAUUUUUGUGAAAAAUACUAUUGGAACUAAACCUACUGAAUGAACCAGGGAGCAAAAUCAAAUGUUUGUAGCUAACUAAUUCAGCUAUCUGAUCUAACAUAUAUUGCUCUGAACUAAAUAUAUGUGUGUAGCUGUAUAGUUCUAAACCAUAUAUAGUUCUUGGAACUAAAAAGUUCUCAUGAAUAUAUUCUAAAUUUAUCUUGUUACCAAGAAUGGUCGAAGAAACCUAUAUUAUGGCCUUACGAGUAUGCAAGUUCUACCAGCUUGUAAAAUAAUUUAGAGAAAGAGAACGAAAAGUGACAUCUCACCCACCUGAACGGGACACAUGGGUGUGGCAGGAAGGAGCAUCGUCCAUUUGGUUGCGCUUGAUCCCCUUGUGUGUGUGCCGCUGCUCGGUGGAGGGACGGAGACAUGGAGCUCACGGAUGUAGGCCACAAACGCUUGGACUCCAGGGCGGGGAGGGAGAGUUCAGCUGAGAUCUGCCUUGUAAUGUAUCAGCGUCUUACCCGGUGACGCCGAGUUGUAUUGGAAGGGGAUGGCAAGUCCUUUCCUAGAGAAGUUUUGCCCCAUCAUUACCUUCUGAUGGUUCUAAUACUUAAUGGUAUGCCCUAUUUCCACAACUCAUUAGAAAAUGCCCAUUGUGUCCUUGUAGUGCUUGAGCUUGUCUCGUACACCAUAGAAGCCAGUUCCUAUUAUUGCGUCUAUCAAAUGAAGUCUAUUGCAUGCAUUAGAACAAAAACAGAAUCACAUAAAGCGCAAAAAGGAAUGCAUGUGAGAGGAAUAAAACACACAUCACAAUAGGAUAGAUAAUAAAUGGUGUAGCCGGGGGUGGAGUCACGAGGCAUUCUAUUCAGGGCUAGGUUGAGUACCUCGAUCUGGACGUCCAGCCAACGGGGAUCUCCUUGCUCUGGACACACUUCCUCACCGGCUUCUUCUUGUCAUCCUUGUUGGCUUCCUCAGUGCCCCACUUGGUUUUGGCCUGCCAACGGCGCCAGGCUUGGACUUGGCCUCCCACUUCCACUUGAGGUCGAAGUUGUCGUCGUUGGGGGAGGCGAGCUCUGUCUCCCACUUGAGAGCCUGCCCCCCGCCACAUGCCUUCUCCCCGGUCGUCCACUUCACCUUGCGGCCCCCGGGGAGGCGGCGGCGUAGGUGUACUUGCGGCAAGCCGGAUGCGACCCCCGGGGAGCCGGCGGAGAGGGUCGCGAGCUAAUCUUCUGGAUAGACCGAUGUGCACACAUGAUUGUGCAUGAUAGAACUCCGUAAGCAUGCACUUACAAUUGAAGUACCUGUAACACAAUAAGAAUAAACUGUUGUAGAGCAAUGUAUCAAAAUAAGGGGGAAAUGCAAACUGAUUAAAGGCUAAACAUACAGAAUGAUUCAAAAGGCUAAAACUGAUUGAAGGCUACAAUAGGAAUAAAAUGUUGCAAAGAAAUGAACCAAAAUAAGAGCAAUGAAGUUCAGAUAGCAGGACCACUGACUGGCACAGUGCACUUGUGAGAAUGUGAGAUAAAGGAUAAUAGAACUGAUAUGAUUAUUUUAGAUGAGGAAGUGCACAAAUGAAUGCUUGAUGUUUAGUUAAACACAUUUCAGUAUUCUAUAUUUCUAUUUACCUUCGGCCCUUACUUUUCUAUAUUUUCUCUUCAAACCUCACUAUAAACUUUAAGCCUGAUAGCAUAUUCUACCAUCCAAUUGGCUUGUUCAGCUUGAGUACUCCAUAUGCAUUUGGGCGACGGUUUUUCUACAAGAUGAAUUGAUGGAAAAUGGAAACAUAAAAUACACACUGGCAUUUUAACCAAAAUUUGCAAGCCUGUGAUGAUGAAAAAAAUCCGAAUACAGCAAACUGUAUCUCACCCAUGCCAUUUGAAGGUUCUGAGCCAUCGAGAUAAAUUUUAUACCAAGAUUAUGGAUGCAUUCCUGUAAAAGAAUAUAAUACAUAAAAAGCAGUCAUAAACUCAAGUGUAGGUCUGUUUAAAAUUCGGAUCAAUUCUACAUCACUUGUUUGUGAAUCUCAAAGGAAACAGACCUAAACUGAGUGAAUUAGUAUGUGGUGUGCCCCAAUAUUAUUUUUAUCAACAGAAGAAUAAUAUAGAUUUAGGAAAUUGAAAAUCGAGUAUUACCAUUCAUUUCAACAGAAAAUAAAUAGUUGGUGAACAAAUAUACAUGUCUAAAAUGUAUGUACAGUAUAGAUAUUAGAGUUUAUGUUAAACGGAAAUUAGUUUCAGGUUUUUCCUUUGUCGCCUAGCAAAAUGAUCAUGCAUAAAUAAUUGGAAUUUAUCGAUACAUUAUCAUCUAUUUUUGUUCAUGUACAUCGGUUCAGAAUCUAUUCGACAACAAACAAUACAUAAAAUGCAUAAAAACUAAGUAAAAGAAAUUAUCGAUGUUGAAUCACACGAAGCAUCAAGAGUAAGCAUUCGAGAAAACACACACUGCAUGAGCCCAAACUGAACUAUGGGUGUUCAUCCAAUUCUAAAAAGGAGGUAUACAACUACACACACCGGAUACUCGAGUUCAUGGUAAUAAAUAUUCAGAGAAGAAACAUAUCACGACAGUCAUCGUAACUCAUUUCAUGAAACGGAAAUCGCAAAAAGGGGGGAGAUGCUUUCAUGGAAGAAUCUAAAAUCAUUCACUGGAAAACUAAUAUUGUUUAUCUGCUACCAAUUAUAUAUAUAUCAAAACUGAUGUAUGUACAUUAUUAAAGCAGAGCAAGUAAGAGGAAGCACAUUAUUAUUCUGAGCUAAAGUGUAUGCAGAUGGUACAAACACUUCAGGUAUAUUCUGAUUAUUCUACUGCCCCUAAGCCCAAAAGAAUGAGCAAGAAGAAAUACAUAUAUCUCAGAAAAAUAGGAUUACACAUCUGAAGAAUAUAAAUUUGUCUGAUAAAAUUCCACGCAUGACUUGCAAAAGUACUUCUCUUCCCUUUGAUCACUAUUGUGAUAUAACCUGUUAUUAUCCACCUUGAUUUAUCAUUUCUUAUGGUAGAAAGCAGAAGAUAUAACCUAUUAUUUCUACACAAAAAGUAACAGGGUAAUGUAGUGUGCUGAAUAUUGAAACCAUAUGUCUCCAGGAAGUAUUGCACCAGUCUUCACCAACAGAGAAUCUACCACAGGAAAACCCAACAGGGAAUCACCCACAAACCUGCAGGAGCAUAAGGGGCCUCUUUAACAUUACCAUGCAUACCUGCAAAGGAUGGAUUUGCUCAGCAUAGAACAUUGUCAUGAUUUAAACUUGCAGUUCACUAAAUGCUGACUUGCGCGUGGAAGCAACCAUAUUAAAUCUAGCGCAAUUAUAUCUUGCAUAGGCAAGUCACAUGACCAGGAAAUAUAUUGUACAGGUAAAUUAUCCUUGAUACCCAAAAAAAAGACCUGGACAGCACACAAGAGGGCAUAAAAUGGAAUUAACCUUCCUGCUUGAAAUUUCAUCAAACAACUUGUAGGCAUACACCAAAAGAAUCUGCACAGACAAAGAUAAGAAAUUCUAGUGAUUAAAUCAGAGAAGAGGAGGGCAUGAAAGGGAGCGCAGGUUAAUCAGCAGGAGGAGAGAGUGUAGGUACCUGUAAGAAAGGGAUGGAGAAAUUUGCAGGGGCGUGGAGGUGAAAAGUUUGGGAUGAAAAGCAGAGCCCAGCAGUGGAUGGGGACGGAGGUGGCAGUGCUUCUUCUUCGUCUUCUCAUCUUGCUCCCGUCUCCUUUUUCCAAAUCCCUCUCUCUAUCUCUUGCAGGGGAACACGGGAGGAGUAGGGUCAGGAGCUGGCAACCAAAGGGAAAGGAAGAAGAGGAACGCGGGAGAGAGAGAGACCUGUAGGUCACAACGACGACAACCAUGACAGCACCGUCGGGUAGGUGGUUGCGGUGGCUCGUGCUCCUCCUCGCCCCGUCUCCUCCGUGUGCGGCGCCGACGAACUCUAGCCGCAUCUAGGUCAGACGGCAACAGAGACAGCGGCGUAGCAGGGCCGUGCGGGCGCGAUGUGAGGGGAGGAGGACGGGCGGCGGCGGCGCAGAGGAGAGGAGGAGGUUGGGCGGCGGCGGCGCAGAGGAGAGGAGGAGGACGGGCGGUGGCGGCGCAGAGGAGAGGAGCUGCAGGCGAGGCAAGGAUGAAGCAGGGCGCGUGUGCGCGGGAGGUGGCGGCUAGGUUGACUGGCUGCACUUAUACAAGUACGCGAAAUGACCGAAAUACCCUCGGCGGGGCAGCGAAAUUACAGUCGGUGGCACAAACGAGAGGGAACUAUUCAUUGUAGCAGUGUCUGUUUUCGAUCCGGCGGCCCAGAUCGUCCGGAAGGGAGAUCCGACGGUCAAAAUCGCAUCAAAAAAUCAAUCCGACGGCCGAGAGUCGCUAAGCUAUGAGAAGCCUCAUGUUCUCCCUAGAUACUUAUAUCAGGAUUCGCGUUGCAAAUCCACUAGCAUUUUGUUCAUGAAAGAAUGUUCUUGCCUGCAAGUUGCAAUACUUUUAUUGCUAUGAAAUGUGAACUUACACAUUUAGCCAUCGCACUCAAUCUUUUACACCGAUGACCUGGUCGAGAGAGUACGAAACAUCCGCGUACACCGCGGCAGCACACUCGUCCGCCGCCUCGUCGACCGCGCCAGCACACGCCGCCUCGUCGUCCAUCGCGCCACCACGGUUGGCGGCGUUGAGGGCGUUUGUCGCUGGAAAUGCGAGCGUCGAGGAUCUCAACGCCGCAUCAUGAGGCCCCGCCUUCGGGCUUGUCCACACGCUGGCGGAGCGGGCAGCCGGUGCCCCUCCUCCGCCGGGGAGCCGCCGGAGCUCCCCCGGCGACGAGGUGGAGAGCAUCGCCAUGGCGCACGUCCCCGCUCGCUGCACUCGGCACGAUCGAUUGAGUCAAUGGUGACAGAGCCGUGGGAAGAGCCGCCAUCGACGCGACGGGCACGGCGAGAGGAUGGUCCUCUGUUUUCGAGCUUAUGAGAAGUUGAAAACCCUCUUUUCUGUAAUAGGUAAUUCUGUUUAGGGCUCAUUAUGUACUGUACAAAAGUGUGGCUAGUUUCCCCAGCGUUUUCUUUCUCUCUGUUGAGAAAUUAAAGAUCCCUCCUACGAGGUGUCAGUUGGAAAGAGGUGUCUAUUCAGUACAUCUUUUCAUCACACGUAUGUUAUCAGCACUUUGCUGCUGAUUCGAUCAACCACAACCCCGUCCACGGCAAAAAUCGACGGGCAUGCAUACAUGCGUAAAAGAGGAAAUUGGAUUAGGGGAUUGUCCGUCUUGUUUCUGAUUUUGUCUUAUUGCCAUCAAUCACGAUCUAAUAACUAUAGUACUAGUUGUGUUUUGUUUAUCACUUCUCCCGUCGUGCGCGCGUAGCGAUGGCGAGAUGGAUCAAUCGCUACUCAAACAGAAACAGGAAGAAAUCCUUGAACAAGGAAGACGCACAGAAAAUGGCACGGGCGUUGGCAUCCACGAUCAAUUGACCGGUAACUGCCCUCUCCACGGCAAGACUUGGAGACGUGGGAGAAGUUAUGCGGCGGCGCCUCAGGCCAAUCACCCUAGUUAACUCGAAGCUCUCGGCCAUGCCCAUUUUCCACAUGAUGGCGCUCGAUCCCCCCCCCCCUCCCCCCCUCCCCCGCCAAGGCCCCACCUNNNNNNNNNNNNNNNNNNNNNNNNNNNNNNNNNNNNNNNNNNNNNNNNNNNNNNNNNNNNNNNNNNNNNNNNNNNNNNNNNNNNNNNNNNNNNNNNNNNNNNNNNNNNNCAGCUCACAAGUGUCACUGCCCGAUGGGUCCAGCGAGUGUGUGAGCUGGAGACGGCCUGCGUGCCGUGGGGUUAAAAGCGGCUGCGUCCGCGUGAGUGGGAUUAUGAUAUAUUAUGACAUAACCGAACACAUGAGAGAAGCUGUUCUUCCUCGCGUCUCAUCCAGAUCCCUCUUCUCUGCCUUCCCCCUUCCCUUGAUCUCCUCCUUCCCCGCUUAGAUUGAUCGAGGCCCGUGACAAGUGGUAUCAAAGGUCACCGAUCUGGAUCCGCUGUACCAAAAAUCGCGAUACCAGACCAAGGCGGUGAAGCAAGCGGCAGCGAUGGAAGAACAGAUCGCGGCACUCGCCAAGGCGGUCAACGACAGCCGCAUCGCCAACGACGCUCGCCUCGACGCGAUCCAGCAGUCGCUCGAGUUGUGGCGGCCGGCGGUGACCAAUCUGCAGCAGCUGGACGCGCUGCGGACGCAAGUCGGCCGGAUCGCCCUUCAUCCGGCGCUCGCGUCGCCUCCGGCGACCCAGGAGGGCGCGGUGGUGCGGCCAGCGGGCGUCAACUCCGUCGACAUCCCUAGGCACCACGGGCCAAGUGGCCACGGCGAGGUCAUCGAUUCCGGGGUUUCGGCUCAUGGGGUGGUUACCACCCUGACGCCGCCUCCGGGCAAGGGUGCGUUACUCGAUCUCACACCCCCUUCUCCGCCUCUUGUCAGUCCGCAUCAGGAUUUUGAGCACGGUUCGCACCACAAUUCGCACUCCAAUUGGGCCCUUCCUAAACUGGAUUUUCCCCAGUUUGAGGGAAAGAAUCCUCAAUUCUGGAAGACUCGCUGCGAAAAAUACUUUGCUGUUUAUGGCGUGCAGCCGGAUCUCUGGGUCCGGGUGGCCACCCUACACUUCUCGGGCACGGCAGCGUGUUGACUGCAGGUCCAUGAAGCACACAACACUACAUUCACUUGGGAGACACUGUGCACAGCUCUGUGUGCCAAGUUCGGCCGUGAGCAGUAUCAAAACCAACUUCGUCAGUUUAACACUUUGCGCCAGACCAGAUCCGUAGUGGAGUACAUGGAGCACUUUGAGGAAUUGAUGCAUCAUUUGCUUUCUGACAACCCAUCCUUCGACCCGCUUUUCUUUACUACUCAGUUCCUUGAUGGUUUAAAAUCGGAAAUCAAAUCUGGUGUGGUUUUACAUCGGCCGCAAGACCUCGAUACUGCCUUUUCGCUUGCCCUAUUGCAGGAAUAGAUGGUGGGCCAGUUGCCACGACGCGACCCCGGGCCUGCUCGACAUCUACCAAGAACUGUGGUGGCUCUGGGGGCACCUCCACCACGACCAGCUCUGCCCGCUCCCGCCGCGGCUGCAGAUGACAGGCGUGCCUUGGAGGCGGCUUGAGCCGGCGAGCAACGCCAAGACCCAGCCCGCGGAGAUGAUCGCGUGGUGGCCCUGCGCAACUAUAGACGAGCGCGUGGGUUGUGCUUCAAGUGUGGGGAACGCUGGGCUCAUGGGCACCAGUGCGCCGCCACGGUGCAACUCCACGUCGUCGAAGAGCUGUUGGAGCUCCUUCAAGCCGAGGCGCAAGAGGACCUGAUGGCUGAUCCUGAUCCCGCUGAAGAUCAGUUAAUGUCGAUAUAAAAAAUGGCAACCACGGGCGAAACAACACCGCGCACCGUGCGGCUAUUGGAAAAAAUUGGAGAACUGGAAGUUUUGGUGCUCGUGGAUUCCGGCAGCUCCCACAGUUUCGUCAGUGAACAUGUUGCCGCACAGCUUCAGGAACGAGUGCAGCCUAUGCAGCCAGUGUCAGUCAAGAUCGCUGAUGGAGGGACGCUUGCCUGCUCUGGGUACAUUCCAGCAUGUAGCUGGGAGAUGCAUCAACACACUUCCACCAUGGAUGUGCGGGUUCUGUCCCUAGGAUGUUAUGACAUGGUGGUGGGGAUGGAUUGGCUGAAAGGUUGUGGCCCGAUGCUUAUUGACCGGACCGCUAAAACAAUGAAGUUCCAUCAUCAGGGGCACCAAAUUCAGUUGAUAGGGCUCCAAGCAAAUACACAAACAGUGCUGCCAGCUACCAUGGAUCAGUUGCUAUCCCUUGAGCAAACAAACUCCAUUGCUCAUGUGUUGUGGGUGUGUGUGGCUGAACAGAGUGGGGAAGCCACAGAAGUGCCGGUGGAAAUACAACACAUCCUCGACAAAUUUCAGUCAGGCUAUGAAGAGCCUACCACUCUGCCUGCACACCGAGAUGGGGAUCACAACAUUCCACUGGUGGCAGGCGCUCAACCGGUUAAUAUUUGGCCGUAUCGUUACACACCAAAGCAGAAAAGAUGAGAUGAGGCUCGGGUCAAAGAGAUGCUGUGAUCGGGACUAAUCACUGCCAGCUCAUGUGCUUUCUCUUCGCCUGUACUAUUGGUGAAAAAGAAGGACCAAACAUGGAGAUUUUGCAUUGAUUUCCGCCACCUCAACGCAAUCACUCUCAAGAAGAAUUACCCCAUGCCCAUCAUUGACGAGCUCUUGGAUGAAAUCGCUGGCUCAAAAUGGUUCUCCAAGCUUGUUCUUCGCGCUAGAUACCACCAAAUUUGCUUGGCGCCGGAGGAUGAACACAAGACUGCGUUCCGCACGCAUAUGGGACACUUCCAGUUCUGUGUCAUGCCGUACGGGUUGGCAUAUGCGCCGGCAACAUUCCAAGGAAACAUGGACAUGGUUCCGGCUCCGGUCAAUCGCAAGGGGGUUCUGGCCUUUAUGGAUGAUAUCUUGGUGCACACGAAGGAUUUGCAAACACACCGGGAGCGGUGGUCUCAAGUACUUCAGCGGUUACCGGACCAUGGGCUGAAAGAAAAGAGGUCCAAGUGCAUCUUUGCGCAGCAGCAGAUCAGCUACCUAGGGCAUGUGAUCAGCGAGAAAGGCGUAGCCACAGAUCAGACAAAAGUUCGCGCUGUCCAGGACUGCGAGGUACCCACCAAUGUCAAACAACUCCGUGGAUUUCUUGGACUCACAGGCUACUAUAGAAAGUUUCUCAUAUUCUUUGGGGUGAUCAGCAAACCACACUUACCGAACUCCUAAAAAAUAAUACCAUCUUCAUGUGGACACCAGCUGCGGAUGCCGCGUUCUCGGCCCUCAAAUGAGCUCUUGUCGAAGCCCCGGUGCUCGCGCUACCUGAAUUUCAGAAGCAAUUUGUUGUCGAGACUGUAGCACAACGGGAAUUGGCGCCGUGUUAAUGCAACAAGGGCACCCGGUAGCGUAUCUGAGCAAAGCCUUGGCCCCCAAAAACCUGGGGUUUUCAGCCUAUGAGAAGGAAUGUCUAGCUCUGCUUCUGGCAAUCGAUCAUUGGCGGCCAUAUCUACAACAUGCAGAAUUCAUUGUGCACACGGACCAGAAAAGCCUGUUGCAUCUCAUGGACCAACGGCUCAACACACUAAUUCAGCAACGGGGCUUCACCAAGCUCAUAGGCCUGCAGUUCGUGAUCCAGUACAAGGCGGGUCUCUCCAACCGAGCAGCAGAUGCACUGUCGCGGAAGGCACAUGGCACCCAGGACGAGCUUGCAACGAUCUCUGUUUGCAAACCGGCAUGGUUGGAGGCCAUCUGGCGCAGUUAUCGUACAGACGAGGUGGUUAAACAGCGCAUGGCCAAGAUAGCGCUCGAUCCACACAAUGAACCUGACUUUGCACUUCAGGAUGGAGUCCUUCGCUUCAAGAGCCAUAUUUGCAUAGGGGACGACCCGGAAACGCAACAUCACUUGAUUCGCGUGCUCCACGCAAGUGCAGCAGGGGGCACUCUGGGUUCCAUACUACUUAUCAUCGGUUGAAGCAGCUCUUUGCUUGGAAGAACAUGAAGCAGCAAGUAAAAACACUGGUCCGGGAUUGUAUGAUCUGUCAACAAGCCAAGACAGAGCGCACGUCUCCGGCCGGACUACUGCAACCACUCCCCAUCCCACAAAAGCCAUGGUCCGUUGUGUCCUUGGACUUCAUCGAGGGGUUGUCUCGCUCGGGAGGUUAUGACACAGUGCUGGUGGUGGUGGAUAAAUUCUCCAAGUACGCUCACUUCCUACCCUUGACUCACCCGUUCACAGCCCUUCAGAUCGCCAAGACAUUCAUGAAGGAGAUCUACCGUCUGCAUGGACUGCCGCUAGCAAUCAUCUCAGACAGGGACCACAUAUUCACAAGCAACAUCUGGCAGGAACUCUUCAAGCUCUGCCGGACAAAACUGAAACUCAGCUCAUCUUACCACCCGCAGACAGAUGGACAGACCGAGAGGGUGAACCAAUGCCUCGAAGCAUACCUGCGAUGCGCCAUACAUUUAUGCCCAGGCAAUUAGUCCAAGUGGUUGGCCCUUGCAGAAUACUGGUAUAACACGUCGUUUCACUCAUUGCUUGGCAGGACGCCGUUUGAGGUGAUCUAUGGAUAUCUUCCGAGGGAAUUUGGGGUCACUCAAGUGGAUAACUGCACUGUCCCAUAUCUCGCAGCUUGGCUUCAGGAACAACAAGUGAUGACGGAACUCCUCCAGCAACAGCUCAAGCGGGCUCAAGACAGAAUGAAGAUCCAAGCUGAUCGGAAGCGCACGGACAGAGAGUUUGCUGUGGGGGAUGCAGUGCUGCUCAAGUUGCAACCGUUCAUUCAAACUUCGGUGGCGCAGCGACCGCAUCAAAAAUUGGCCUUUCGGUACUAUGGCCCCUAUCAGCUGCUAGCUCGGGUGGGGGCUGUCACCUACAAGCUCCAGAUGCCGGCGGGCAGCAAGAUACAUCCGGUUGUUCAUGUGUCUCAGCUGAAGAAAGCGGAAGGGGCAACAGUACCGGUAAGUCCUGAUCUCCCUCCUGAGAACCCCAUCUUGCAGGCAGAACACACUCCCGUCGCGGUCCUGGAGAGCAAGCUGGUACAGGUGGCGGGCGAGCCACGUCCUCGGAUCCGCGUGCAGUAGAGCCAACUGCCGGAUUUCUUGUCAACCUGGGAAGACCCGGACGCUCUGCAACGACAGUUCCCUACUUCUCCGCCUUGGGGACAAGUCGGCGCACAAGAGGGGGUGAUUGUCACGUAUGACGCCAAGGCCCCAGCUGGCGGUGAGAAUGAUGAGGAGACAGGUCGUGCAAGGCACACGGCGAGCGCAUGACCAGCUCGCAAGUGUCACUGCCUGAUGGGUCCAGCGAGUGUGUGAGCUGGAGACGACCUGCGUGCCGUGGGGUUAAAAGCGGUUGCGUCCGCGUGAGUGGGGAUUAUGAUGUGUUAUGACAUAACCGAACGCACGAGAGAAGCUGUUCUUCCUCGCGUCUCAUCCAGAUCCCUCUUCUCUGCCUCCCCCUUCCCUUUAUCUCCUCCUUCCCCGCUUAGAUCGAUCGAGGCCCGUGACACGAAGCCAUACGGUGGGCCGGGUGUCCUAAAUCUUCCCCUCCUAAACCAGGCUCUACGCAUCCGGUGGAUAUGGUUCGAGAAGACUGCAUUGGACAAGCCUUGGCAGGGCCUUAAAAGAGCUUUGCUACAUCUACGUAGAGAUUUUUACGUAAUCUAUGUAAAAAGUGACCUGGCUUGAUUUGGUUGGAAGGGAAAUAGGCCCAGGCCACUCCCCCCCCCCCCGGUGAAAAUCAGGGGGGUGAUUAGUUUAGGAUUAAGGAAAGAACGUAACUUUACGUACAUGGUUACGUAAGUCUAGCAUUUUUGGCCUCAAAAUGCCCAUACAGCUUGCGAGCAAGAGCCUUGCGCUCGCGGCUAGGUGGGGAACAGAGAGUGAACAAGCUUCUGGUACGACCGGUGGAUUGAGGGCCACAACAUUGCACAGAUCGCCCCCACCUGCUCUCCUUCAUAAGGCCCGCAGGCAGAUCGCUUUGCGUGGCACAUGCCCUGCCUGACAAUGCCUGGGUAUAUGAGAUUCGCGACACCCCUUCUGUUCCUGUAAUCGCGGAAUUCCUUGAGCUAUGGGAGAUACUUCAGAACAUCACUCUCUCCAGUUAGGCCAACUCCUUCUCUUGGCGGUUGGGAAGCGCAGGAAAAUACUCCUCCCGCGUAACCUAUUCCAUCUUCUUUCUUGGGGAGGAGCUGGCUCCUUGUGCUGACGAGACCUGGAGAUCAUGGCCCCCUGGAGAUCAAAAUCUUUGCAUGGCUCGCGGUGCGCGGCCGGCUAUGGAUCGCAGACAGACUGGCGUACCGAAACUUGCCUCAUACUAGGCAGUGUCAAAUCUGUUGGCAAGUUGACGAGGACAUGACACAUAUGCUAUUGGGUUGCCCUUUUGCCAGGGAGGUUUGGUACCACAUGCUCCUACCCCUACGUCUAAAUCGUUUCACGCCUGUCGGGGGUUUGGUGCGACAUAUGCCAAAGGAUGGCUUAUCAUGAUGGGGGCUAGUAAGACGUCACCAGUGCCAGGAAACGGGAUGAGGCGAAGACAUGCACGCCGGCGAAUCUUACCCAGGUUUGGGGCUCUCCGUGGAGAUAACACCCCUAGUCCUGCUCUACGGGGUCUCCGCAUGAUCACUCAAGCAACAAUGGUGGUUAGAAGCUUGCUCCUUGAGUUGUUUUUCUAGAGGGGCAAGGAGAGCAAGUCUAGCCUUAGCUUCCUCUCUCUAUAUGGGUGUGUGGAUGAACAAGAGGCUGAACCCUUUGCAUGGGUGCCCUGGGGGUUUAUAUAGGCCUACCCCCUAGGGGUACACUAGUAAUCCGGCCGGGUGUAGGCCCGAACCGUCAGUGUCUCUGGUCGCCGGCUUCUCCGCUGGCCAGUGGGGCCCGCCGCCUGGUGGGUCCCGCUGUCUGUCCAGUACUUGGCCGACAGGCCAUACCCGCCGCUUGCGGGUCCUGCCGGCUGCCCGAUACUGUAGCAGUGCGUCUAAUGAUGCGUGCUUUGUCGGGGGAGGCGUGGCUACAGUGCCGCCGCCUGGCGGGCGUUCACUAUAGCCAUUCCCCGUCUUAUCUGGUUAAUGGCGCACCGGUCCCCAAGAGGGGGAGGGCCGCCUGGUCAACUGCCGGCUUCUACUGAGCCGACUGGCCAGGGACGGCCGCCUUCCGGUCUUCUCGUUGUCAAGUGGGGGCCGCCGCCUGCGGGCCGUACCGACAGCCCGUCGUGGGGGCACAGCCCCCUCUGACAGGGGUGACAUCAGGGUCAGCGUGGCAACAGUGCUGCGCCGAACGGAGGAGCCCGCUUGGUACGACGCAUUGUGGCCUUGCUAUGCCCUAGGCUAGGGGCGGCGUGGCAUGCUGUAGCCACGCCCCGUCUCGUCGUAUUUAUGAGGGUGCAGACUCUGAGAGUGCUUGGGGCCGCCUGCUGGGAGCCGGCCUCUCCAGAGGCCGCCUGCCAGGAGUCGGCUUGUCUUGAGGCCGCCUUCUAGCAGCCGGCCGCCUGGACCAGCCGACGACGAUAAGGUGGCGCUUUGGUCUUGGAUUCUUGAGGGGCGCAGUUGGCCCCGAUGUCUUGAAACGCCAUGGGGAGCAGAUGAGGCUACCCGUGGCUAAUUACUCCGACAGUAGUCCCCGAAGCUGGUGGGGCGCCGUGGCUGAAAGGGACGUGGGGCCGCAGCAGCUUCCUACUACGAGUAUUCUGUUGAUCUUGCUUCAUCCGUCUUCCGGAGCACCGACUGCGAGGAGUCGGACACGACCAGGCGGCUGCCUGGUGGUUUUCGAAACAUCGAGGCGGGAACCAAGCGGCGCACUGGCCUAGCCCUAGGCCAGCCGCCAGCUAUUCGCGCGCCACGUGGCGCCAGCAGGCCAGGGGUCCUGCCAGCCCACACGCGCGAUGGGACGUGGCCGCAGGCCAGGGCCCGCCACUACCAGGCCUCGGUCCGCAUGCGGAUCCGCUGUGGCCGAGGCGGACGGUUGGGCUUCUAGAGCGCAUUUACCCCGCGGUCUUUAUUGCGCGGUUACUGCGGGGACGUGGGGUGGUGGGCGUAGUUAAUCCCACGAACCCCACGCUCCGCCCCCUCGGCUUCGCAGCCCGGGGCUACAAAUAGGGGGAGGAGGGGGGCGGCAUUAGCACGCGCGCCCACCUCCUCCUUCUCCUUGCUCUUCUUCUUCCUUCUCUCCGCUGCCUCCGCACCCCCGCAGUCUCGCCGGAGUGCCGUCGCAGCUUCCCAUGGCCAAGCCUUUCUCCCCCGCGGCGCUGCUGUUCCGCCGCGGAUCCGCUCCUCCUCCACCGUGUCGCGCCUCCAUCGAGCCUUCAACAUCCAUGGCGCGCGACAAGGCGAACUCCGGUGCCUGGGACGGCUCCAACGUCCAGCAGGACCACCUCGACUUCUUGCGCGACACAAGGCGGCUGCCCGGCGCAGGCUAUGUUGAGGCGCGCAUCCCGCCGGCGAAAGAAAUGACACCGGCGCCGAGAGACGGCGAGCGCGUCGUGUUCCGGACGCAUUUCCUCCGCGGCUUCGACUUACCGGUCAGCGGUUUUCUUCGCUCCUUCCUCGAGUUCUACAACCUCCAGCCGCACCACCUCACGCCCAACACGGUGGUGCUGCUGUCGUCCUUCGUCACGAUGUGCGAAGACUACCUCGGCGUUCUCCCCACACUCGAGCUAUGGGGGGAGUGCUUCUACACCAAGCUCGGCGUCGCUGUCAAGGACGAGCCGGCUGAGUGCGGCACCUUCAUCGCGGUGCGGCGCCCAGGAGCCGGCAACCGCUUUCCCCCCAUCACUCUGAUCCAGUCUGUCAAGCUGUGGCAGAAAUCGUACUUCUACGUGAAGAACGCUGACCCAGCGGUGGACUUCCUCAACUUGCCUCCCUAUGAAGCCGGCCCGCCAGCUGAACCGCGCUCCAGCUGGACGUACAAGCCGAAGCACAUGUCGGCCUCCGGCGCUGCUGCUGUCGCCAGGCUCGAGGAGAUGACGGACCUGGAGGGUCUCCAGGCGGCCGACUUGCUGAUGGCUUUUGUGACGCGCCGGGUUCUCCCCCUCCAGGGCCGGCCUCACAUGAUUUGUCAGAUGAGUGGUCAUCUGGACCCAUGCCGGUUGUCCACCCGUGAGAUGCCGGUAGCGAAGGUGGCCCACAUGGUGAAUGAGAUCGCAAACCUCAAGCUCGCGGCGGACUGGCGGUUCGACAAGCCGCCAUACUCCCGCGCUAAUCCGCCUCCUGCCGUAAGUUCUCGAUUCUUCUCUCUUUUUUGGUCUUUAUUUCUUCUGCCAAGUUCUGGCUUGCCGACUGACCAGUCAGAUAUAUCACAGCUCCUUCCGACCGAGCAGCCGGCCGACGCUCUGGGCCAGGUCUUCAUGCCGAAUCGGGUAGUGAGUGACGCGGACGACCCCGAUUUGGGGGCGGCCACCUUGGAAGACGACGCCACAGGCGGUGGCGACAGGGCAGGCGGCUCCGGUGGAGGAGGCGGCGUUGAGGCGUGGUCGGAUGACGAUGCAGAGGAGGCCGGGCGGCGCCGCCAGCCGGCCGGCAACAGGGCGAGGGCGAGCUCCUCAGCGGCGCCAUCCGCACCAGGUGGCCCCGCCGAAGCGCCGAGCCGGCACGCAGCUGCAUGACACCCAACCGAAGAAGCCCAAGGGCUCGGCUGCGGCGACCAGACGUGAGGAGGCCACCACGAAGACUGUCCGGUUCCAGAUGGCCACGAAGCAGCCGCCGACGGUGCAUGCGUGAGUGCUUACUCCUCUUCAUGCUUUCUCUUGUUUUUUGUAAACUUCUGCUGAAUUUUCUUCAACUCGUGCGAAUCAGGGCACCGCUCUCUCUUGAGCGGUUGACCUCCUCCUCCAUCAUUGGAGGGCCGGAGGGCUCUACCAACACCCGCCGCGUGGACCCGCGCGCCGAGCUCCAGGCGGCGAUGGAGCGGAACGCGCGGGAAGCGCGCGAGGAGAAGGAGAGGGCGGACCAGGUGAAGGCGGCCGCCGCCAGGGCAGCGCAAGAGGAGGCGGACGCGGCGGCCAGGGCCCUGGCCAAUGCCUGAGCAAAGGCCCAGGCGGAGAAGGCGGCCAAGACCCAGGCGGAUGCGGCCGUCGGGGCGCAAGUGGGGGCGGCCACAGAUGGCCAGGCCCCACUGCUGAUCAUUCCGCUGCACUCCAUGCCGCCAGCGACGGAGGUCCUGGCGCCGACUGGAGGGGCCGGCAUCGACCAGUCGGCCAUGGAGAGGGAGGGGGAGACGCCAUUGUCCCAAGGCCGCAGGCACCCCAGCAGACGCCGGCUGCCGAGGCCCAAGACAGUCGGUCCAACGCGCCGCCAGCGUCUGAAGGCGGUGGCGAGCUGGUGGUGGGGGCGACCUCCAUCGUUCGGACCCCGACGUGCCGUCGCGCAGCAAAGGCGACCUCGGCUCCACGGCCCCAAGUGAUUGGAGCCUCGAGCUCAUCGGUUCCCGACGCGGAAGCCACCAGCUCCGCGCUGACGGAGUGAUUGCACGGGGGCGGGACGGGCACCCUGAUCAAGGCGGCGCAGGACGUUCAGGCCGACUUCAGGGCCGAAGCCGCCGCCCUUUAGCAAUGCAUGAAGGCGUUCGUGAAGACGCGGGCCACCGUUCGGGUAUGUAUCUUGCUUCUUGCUUUUGAUUUUUGGGAUCUUCGGCGGGGGCGCGCCAGCGCACCCGCUAGGUGUAGCCCCUGAGUUCCGGUCCGACUGCUGAGCAGUCGGGCAGGAACUUCUCAGUGGGCUCUGAGCUCUGACUCCCCUUUCUUUUUGUUGCUUCGUUACAGGACUACCACAACGUCCAUGCAGCCACCUUCAACGCCCAGAUCAGGGAGCUGGACAAGCGGACCGCGGACCUGGUUGAGAGCCAGAGUGAGCACUCCAUCCUCUUUCUUCUCGCGGGGGCGCGGCAGCACACCCGCUAGGUGUAGUCCCCGAGAUGCGGACCGAAUGCUGAGCAGUCAGGCCGGAUCUUCCGGCAACCACCUUUUCUUGCUUCUUUGUUGAAUAGUUCAAUCCAUCGCGGGGGCGCGUCAGCGCACCCGCGGGGUGUAGCCCCGAGAUUCGGGUCGACUGCUGAGCAGUCGGGCUGGAUCUUUCCAGCGUUUGCUUUGUCUUUGUUGAUCAUUGAUAGUUUUUUCUUCUUUGCCUUCGUAGGUGCCAAUGCCACCCUGCAGCAGCGACUUGGCGAGGCUCAAACCGCGCUGCGCGCCAAGGAGGCGGCGUGCCUCAAGGCGGAGCAGGAGCGUGACCGCCUGGCCAAGCAGCUAGCUGACCAGGCGGACGCCCAUAAGGCAGAGCUGCAGAAGCUCAAGGACGCAGAGGAGGCCCUCCAGGCCGAGUUCGAGAGUCAGCGCUCGAACUGGGUUGACACGCAGAAAGCCCUGGAAGCCGGCUACGUCGAGAUCGAGGAUCUGCUCGACAGUACAUUGCUCUUUCCUCGUUCUGCCUGCCGACUUAUCCCGCGUGCCUGCCUCUGCCUUCUCAUUUCUUUCUUCUUUUCCUGAGUAGAGUAUUUCCCCAACUACUCCGUCGCAGCCAGCCAGGCCGUCGCGGCCCACCGCGAUGAGCGGAGGCAAGCUGGCAUGACGGUUGCGCCGAACGCCCUUUGAAUUCUUGCCGAGGAGAUGGUCGCCAUCGAGGCUCGUCUCCAGCCGGCGCAUCGGGCUCUUCGCCGUCUUCAGCGUGCUGGAGCUCAAGUGGUCGCCGCCCUUGGGCCGGGCACUCCUAUUCUACGCAUCGCCAGCUGGACCUCCGACUGGUUGGAGGUGGCCAUCGGCCGCAUCGAGGCGUGGAAGGGCUCCUCCGCUCGGGCAGGUGCGCGCCGAGCUUUGGAGUUUGUCACCACCCUUCGAGCCGAAGCCGGCACGGAGCUGGAGGCGGUGGCGCCUCAGCUUCGUCAUCGCACCGCGGCGAUCGCUGAGUAUACAGACACCAGCGUCUUCCUCCCUGAGCAUGACGAAGCGGGUGCCGAAGUGCCGCCCAACUGGUUCGGGCUGAACCCAUAAGGCGGCGAAGACAAGGUGGAGGAGAUCGCCUCCAGCGAUGAAGGCGAAGAGGAGGAGGAUGAGGACGAGGGCGGCUGCUACCUCUUGAGCACUGCGUUGGUUUUCCCUUGAAGAGGAAAGAGUGAUGCUGCAAAGUAGCGUAAGUAUUUUCUUCAGUUUUGAGAACCAAGGUAUCAAUCCAGUAGGAGUCCACGCUCAAGUCCCACGAACCUACACAAACAAAUAAGAACCUUGCAACCAACGCGAUAAAGGGGUUGUCAAUCCCUUCACGGCCACUUGCAAAAGUGAGAUUUGAUAGAGAUGAUAAGAUAAUAUUUUUGGUAUUUCUAUGAUAAAGACUGAAAGUAAAGACUGCAAAUAAAGUAGAUCGGAAACUUAUAUGAUAGAAAAUAGACCCGGGGGCCAUAGGUUCACUAGUGGCUUCUCUCAAGAUAGCGUAAGUAUUACGGUGGGUGAACAAAUUACUGUCGAGCAAUUGAUAGAAUUGAGCAUAGUUAUGAGAAUAUCUAGGUAUGAUCAUGUAUAUAGGCAUCACGUCCGUGACAAGUAGACCGACUCCUGCCUGCAUCUACUACUAUUACUCCACACAUCGACCGCUAUCCAGCAUGCAUCUAGAGUAUUAAGUUCAUAAGAACAGAGUAACACAUUAGGUAAGAUGACAUGAUGUAGAGGGAUAAACUCAUGCAAUAUGAUAUAAACCCCAUCUUUUUAUCCUCGAUGGCAACAAUACAAUACGUGUGGUUUCCCCUACUGUCACUAGGAUCGAGCACCGCAAGAUUGAACCCAAAGCUAAGCACUUCUCCUAUUGCAAGAAAGAUCAAUCUAGUAGGCCAAACCAAACUGAUAAUUCGAAGAGACUUGCAAAGAUAACCAAUCAUACAUAAAAGAAUUCAUAGGAGAUUCAAAUAUUGUUCAUAGAUAAUCUUGAUCAUAAACCCACAAUUCAUCGGAUCUUGACAAACACACCGCAAAAGAAGAUUACAUCGAAUAGAUCUCCAAGAGAAACAAGGAGAACUUUGUAUUGAGAUCCAAAGAGAGAGAAGAAGCCAUCUAGCUAAUAACUAUGGACCCGAAGGUCUGAGGUAAACUACUCACACAUCAUCGGAGAGGCUAUGGUGUUGAUGUAGAAGCCCUCCGUGGUCGAUGCCCCCUCCGGCGGAGCGCCGGAAAAGGCCCCAAGAUGUGAUCUCACGGGUACAGAAGGUUGCGGUAGUGGAAAUAUGGUUUUGGCUCCGUCUCUAAUGUUUUCGGGGUACAUAAGUAUAUAUAGGAGGAAGAAGUAGGUCGGUGGAGCAAUGAGGGGCCCACGAGGGUGGAGGGUGCGCCCCCCUGCCUCGUGGCUUCCUCGUUGGUUGCUUGACGUCAACUCCAAGUUCUCUGGAUCACGUUUGUUCCGAAAAUCACGUUCCCGAAGGUUUCAUUCCGUUUGGACUCCGUUUGAUAUUCUUUUUCUUCGAAACACCGAAAUAGGCAAAAAAACAACCAUCUGGGCUGGGCCUCCGGUUAAUAGGUUAGUCCGAAAAAUAAUAUAAAAGUGUAUAAUAAAGCCCAUUAAACAUCCAAAACAGAAUAUAUAAUAGCAUGGAACAAUUAAAAAUUAUAGAUACGUUGGAGACGUAUCAAGCAUCCCAAGCUUAAUUCCUGCUCGUCCUCGAGUAGGUAAAUGAUAAAAACAGAAUUUUUGAUGUGGAAUGCUACUUAGCAUAAUUCUCAAUGUAAUUCUCUUAAUUGUGGCAUGAAUAUUCAGAUCCAAAAGAUUCAAGGUAAAAGUUUAAUAUUGACAUAAAAGUAAUAAUACUUCAAGCAUACUAACUAAGCAAUUGUGUCUUCUCAAAAUAACAUGGCCAAAGAAAGUUCAUCCCUACAAAAUCAUAUAGUUUGGCUAUGUUUCCAUCUUCGUCACACAAAAUAUCCCAAUCAUGCACAACCUCGGUUUCAGCCAAGCAAUUGUUUCAUACUUUAGUAUUCUCAAACUUUUUCAACUUUCACGCAAUACAUGAGCGUGAGCCAUGGACAUAGCACUAUGGGUGGAAUAGAAUAUAAUGAUGGGGGUUAUGUGGAGAAGACAAAAAAAGGAGAAAGUCUCACAUUUACGCGGCUAAUCAACGGGCUAUGGAGAUGCCCAUCAAUUGAUGUCAAUGCAAGGAGUAGGGAUUGCCAUGCAACGGAUGCAGUAGAGCUAUAAAUGUAUGAAAGCUCAACAAAAGAAACUAAGUGGGUGUGCAUCCAACUUGCUUGCUCACGAAGACCUAGGGCAUUUGAGGAAGCCCAUUGUUGGAAUAUACAAGCCAAGUUCUAUAAUGAAAAAUUCCCACUAGUAUAUGAAAGCGACAAAACAAGAGACUCUCUAUCAUAAAGAUCAUGGUGCUACUUUGAAGCACAAGUAUGAAAAAAGGAUAGUAACAUUGCCCCUUUUUUCAUUUUUUUAUUUUUCUCUUUUUUUGGGACAAUGCUCUAUGAAUGAUGAUCAUCACACUUCUAUUUAUUUACAACUCAAUGAUUACAACUCGAUACUAGAACAAGGUAUGACUCUAUGAAUGCCUCCGGCGGUGUACCAGGAUGGGAAUGAAUCAAGAGUGACAUGUAUGAAAUAAUAUGCAUGGUGGCUUUGCCACAAAUACGAUGUCAACUACAUGAUCAUGCAAGGCAAUAUGACAAUGAUGAAGUGUGUCAUGAUAAAUGGAACGGUGGAAAGUUGCAUGGCAAUAUAUCUCGGAAUGGCUAUGGAAAUGCCAUAAUAGGUAGGUAUGGUGGCAGUUUUGGGGAAGAUAUAAGGAGGUUUAUGUGUGAUAGAGUGUAUCGUAUCACGGGGUUUGGAUGCACCGGCGAAUUUUGCACCAACUCUCAAGGUGAGAAAGGGCAAUGCACGGUACCGAAGAGGCUAGCAAUGAUGGAAAGGUGAGAGUGCGUAUAAUCCAUGGACUCAACAUUAGUCAUAAAGAACUCACAUACUUAUUGAAAAAAUCUACAAGUCAUCAAAAACCAAGAACUACGCGAUGCUCCUAGGGGGGAGGUUGGUAGGAGUUAACCAUCGCGCGCCCCCGACCUCCACACAAAGGAUGGCACUCAAAGAACACUUCAUGUUUCAAAUUUGUCACACAACGGUUACCAUACGUGCAUGCUACGGGACUUGCAAACUUCAACACAAGUAUUUCUCAAAUUCACAACUACUCAACUAGCACAACUUUAAUAUCAUCACCUCCAUAUCUCAAAACAAUCAUCAAGCAUCAAACUUCUCUUAGUAUUCAACGCACUCAUAAGAAAGUUUUUACUAAUCUUGGAUGCCUAUCAUAUUAGGAUCAAUUUCACAAUUUAAGAAAAUUACCAUGCUGUUUUGUAGGACUCUCAAAAUGAUAUAAGUGAAGCAUGAGAGAACAAUAAUUUCUAUAAAACAAAACCAUCACCGUGCUCUAAAAGAUAUAAGUGAAGCACUAGAGCAAAAACUAUAUAGCUCAAAAGAUAUACGUGAAGCACAUAGAUUAUUCUAACAAUUUCCGAAUCAUGUGUGUCUCUCUCAAAAGGUGUGUACAGCAAGGAUGAUUGUGGUAAAAUAAUAAGCAAAGACUCAAAUCAUACAAGACGUUCCAAGCAAAGCACAUAUCAUGUGGUGAAUAAAAAUAUAGCUCCAAGUAAAGUUACCGAUAGACGAAGACGAAAGAGGGGAUGCCUUCCGGGGCAUCCCCAAGCCUAGGCUUUUGGUUGUCCUUGAAUUUUACCUUGGGGUGCCUUGGGAAUCCCCAAGCUUAGGCUCUUGCUAAUACUUGUUCCAUAAUCCAUCAAAUCUUUACCCAAAACUAGAAAACUUCACAACACAAAACUCGACAGAAAAUCUCAUGAGCUCCGUUAGCAAAAGAAAACAAAACACCACUUCAAGGUACUGUAAUGAACUCAUUAUUUAUUUAUGUUGGUGUUAGACCUACUGUAUUCCAACUUUUCUAUGGUUUAUAAACUCUUUUACUAGCCAUAGAAUCAUCAAAAUAAGCAAACAACACACGAAAACAGAAUCUGUCAAAAACAGAACAGUCUGCAGUAAUCUGUAUCUAACGCAAACUUCUGGAACCUAAAAAAUUCUGAUAAAUUAGGAAGUCCUAGAUAAUUCAUUUAUUAAUCUUAUGCAAAAAGAAUCAAUUGAAAAGCACGAUUCUGUGAUUUAUGAAAACUAAUCUCGUGCGUGCAAAAGUUUCUGUUUUUCAGCAGGAUCAAAUUAACUAACACCGUACGUUAUCCUAAAGGUUCUACUUGGCACAAACACUAAUUAAAACAUAAAAACACAUCUAACCAGAGGCUAGAUCAAAGAUUUAUUACUAAACAGAACCAAAAAGCAAGAAAGUAAAAUAAAAUUGGGUUGCCUCCCAACAAGCGCUAUCGUUUAACGCCCCUAGCUAGGCAUAAAAGCAAGGAUAGAUCUAGGUAUUGCCAUAAUAAUGGUAAGGCAAAUCGCGAAAACUCAUCUCAUAUUCCCUAUGUUCAGCAGCAAGUUUUCUUUGUGGCAAGCAAAAUUAAUCAAAGGACUAAAUUUAAUGGGACAAAAGUCCCCAAGAUCAAGCUCGGGAGGUAUGGGUUCCUCCUUUGGCCCCUUGUAUUGCACAACCAAUUCAUCAUUAUAAGUAUUCUUUUGGCAAUAAGUCAUGAGCAUUUGUUCAAGAUAAAAACCUAACCCAUUGUUCUGAAUGGCAAAAUCAUCAUUAAGUUCAGAAAUUCUAUCAACUAGAACAUCGGUAGGAACCUUCUUUCUAAGGUUUUCAUAGUAAGCAUCAUGAUCUAAAGAUCGUAAACGCAUUAAGUCUUCUUGAUUGAAAAGGAUAGCUUCUAUGGGAGGACGACCAGCGUCCACCCUAUAAUGCGCAAAAAUUUCAUUGGCUUCUUUCAUUAUAAAUCUAAACUCAUGUGCCAAAAAGAUAGUAGCUGCUCGCUUAACAGAAGAAUGCUCGAUAUUAGAAAACUCUAGAAAAAUUCUUUGUAUGCAAGGAUGCAUAUGAAUAAAUUGUCUUUCAAGUUCAACUAUGAGCAAGGAUAUAGCAUCCGCAAGACUACUAGUUCUAUGAAGAAUACACCCACCCAUAGAGGGUAAGGUACCGGCACAAGUAAAGAAAUCUUGAAGAACUCCUUUCCCGAUAAUAUUAAAGCUACCGAUCCGAAACUUUUUAGUGUGUAAAAUAGUAGGAUCUUCAAGAGGAUCAACAAAAACAUCAAAGUUUUCCAUACUAUUAUCCUUAUCAACGACAACCUACCCAGUUUCAGACAUGACGGCAGUACAGGAAACAAACAGGGAGCAAGCGGAAAAUAGGGCUAACGGAAAAAAGAAGGCGAAUAAAACGGCAAGGGUGAAGUGGGGGAGAGGAAAAUGAGAGGCAAAUGGCAAAUAAUGUAAUGCGAGGGAUAAGAGUUUGUGAUGGGUACUUGGUAUGUCUUGACUUGUGCGUAGACUCCCCGGCAACGGCGCCAGAAAUCCUUCUUGCUACCUCUUGAGCACUGCGUUGGUUUUCCCUUGAAGAGGAAAGGGUGAUGCAGCAAAGUAACGUAAGUAUUUCCCUCAGUUUUGAGAACCAAGGUAUCAAUCCAGUAGGAGACCACACUCAAGUCCCACGAACCUACACAAACAAAUAAGAACCUUGCAACCAACGCGAUAAAGGGGUUGUCAAUCCCUUCACGGUCACUUGCAAAAGUGAGAUCUGAUAGAGAUGAUAAGAUAAUAUUUUUGGUAUUUUUAUGAUAAAGACUGAAAGUAAAGAUUGCAAAUAAAGUAGAUCGGAAACUUAUAUGAUAGAAAAUAGACCCGGGGGCCAUAGGUUUAACUAGUGGCUUCUCUCAAGAUAGAAUAAGUAUUACGGUGGGUGAACAAAUUACUGUCGAGAAAUUGAUAGAAUUGAGCAUAGUUAUGAGAAUACCUAGGUAUGUUCAUGUAUAUAGGCAUCACGUCCGUGACAAGUAGACCGACUCCUGCCUGCAUCUACUACUAUUACUCCACACAUCGACCGCUAUCCAGCAUGCAUCUAGAGUAUUAAGUUCAUAAGAAUAGAGUAACGCAUUAGGUAAGAUGACAUGAUGUAGAGGGAUAAACUCAUGCAAUAUGAUAUAAACCCCAUCUUUUUAUCCUCGAUGGCAACAAUACAAUACGUGUCGUUUCCCCUACUGUCACUGGGAUCGAGCACCGCAAGAUUGAACCCAAAGCUAAGCACUUCUCCUAUUGCAAGAAAGAUCAAUCUAGUAGGCCAAACCAAACUGAUUAUUCGAAGAGACUUGCAAAGAUAACCAAUCAUACAUAAAAGAAUUCAGAUGAGAUUCAAAUAUUGUUCAUAGAUAAUCUUGAUCAUAAACCCACAAUUCAUCGGAUCUCGAUAAACACACCGCAAAAGAAGAUUACAUUGAAUAGAUCUCCAAGAGAAACAAGGAGAACUUUGUAUUGAGAUCCAAAGAGAGAGAAGAAGCCAUCUAGCUAAUAACUAUGGACCCAAAGGUCUGAGGUAAACUACUCACACAUCAUCGGAGAGGCUAUGGUGUUGAUGUAGAAGCCCUCCAUGGUCGAUGCCCCCUCCGGCGGAGCGCCAGAAAAGGCCCAAGAUGGGAUCUCACAGGUACAGAAGGUUGCGGCGGUGGAAAUAGAGUUUUGGCUCCGUCUCUGAUGUUUUCGGGGUACGUAAGUAUAUAUAGGAGGAAGAAGUAGGUCGGUGGAGCAACGAGGCGCCCACGAGGGUGGAUGGCGCGCCCACCCCUGCCUUGUGGCCUCCUUGUUGGUUGCUUGACAUCAACUCCAAGUUCUCUGGAUCGCGUUUGUUCCGAAAAUCACGUUCCCGAAGGUUUCAUUCCGUUUGGACUCCGUUUGAUAUUCUUUUUCUUCGAAACACUGAAAUAGGCAAAAAAACAGCAAUAUGGGCUGGGCCUCCGGUUAAUAGGUUAGUCCCAAAAAUAAUAUAAAAGUGUAUAAUAAAUCCCAUUAAACAUCCAAAACAGAAUAUAUAAUAGCAUGGAACAAUCAAAAAUUAUAGAUACGUUGGAGACGUAUCUGCGGCGAAGGCGACGCGCCGGGUGGUGAAGAUGACAGCCGGCCUCAGCCCGACCAGGUCUCGACCAACGGGCGAGAUGUCGGUGAGCCGAUUGCUGCCGGUGCUGACCAGACCGAGACCCACCAAGCGGCCGCUCCACCACUAGAAGCCUCUACCUCCGCCGGCCUCUCCGAUCCGGCUGCUGCUCCUUUGGCCUAGGUGGCCAAGUUGUCUGUCUUUUCCCUGUUUUGUAAUUCUCGAACAAAAUUUGUUAAGUUCCCGCAAUUCCACCCGCUGGGGGUGUAUUCAAACUCCGUUGAAUGCUGGCUAAGGGCCUUUUGCUGUAAAAAGUAAUCUUUUGCCGAUUUCUGACUUGUCUUGCUUUUCUACUUCUUUAGCUUUUUUCCUUUGCCGUCUUCCCUUGGCUGCCGUCUUGCCAGUCGGACAGCCGCCCUGCUUUCUGUGACUGGAUCAAGUACUUGGCCGUUUGGGAAGAACAAGUACUUCAGCCAUUCGGUAGAAUGUAGCAAUUUAAGUUAGAAAUCGGCCGGCCGGCUGCCCAGCAGCCGAUCGGCUAGGGAGGAGCCGACUCGGCCUAUGCAAAAUGUUUUAGUCUUUAGCCAUUUUUCGUGUGGCAACCGUUUCCUGCCUUCAUCUCUUGCCGGUCGGACAACCGCUCUGUGAGCUGCGGCUUGUGGCAAGAGAGGGCUUAGGUGCCGGCACACUACUUGUCCGACUGCAUGUAACAUUGGCAUAGUACAAGGCGGCAAGCUCCCGGGCCGACUGGUCGAACCCGGUGCAAGGCAGACUAGUGAAAUAACACAUUCAUAGGCAUAGAACUUAUCAUAUAGAUAAAGGGGGGUAGCCCUCGAGUGCUCCUCGAGGGCCCCGAUGUCUUAGUGCUUUAAUACAAAAGGCAGCGUGAUACAUACUGAAUCAACUGUAAAAUCUUCAGAGGAGGUUUGCAUUCCACGGGCGCUCCGAUUCCUUGCCCGAGUCGUCUCUCUUGCGAGCUCUGGGCUUCUGGGCGUCGAUGAGGUAGUAGGAGUCGUUCCCCAAUGCCUUGCUGAUGAUAAAGGGGCCUUCCCAAGGGGCCGAGAGCUUGUGCUGGCCGGCUGUUCGCUGGAUCAGCCGGAGCACAAGGUCUCCCUGCUGGAAGGAUCUUGGCUUGACCUUCCGAUUGUGGUCGCGGUGCAGACUCUGCUGGUAGAUGGCGGACCGGCUGAGUGCUAACAGCCGGCCCUCCUCCAACAGAUCGACGUCAUCUUCUCGCACCUCCUUCGCUUCCGCCUCAGUGUGCGUGGUGACGCGAGGUGAGUCAAACUCAAUGUCAGUUGGGAUGACGGCCUCGGCACCGUACACAAGGAAGAAUGGAGUGAAGCCGGUUGAUUUGUUUGGAGUGGUGCGGAGGCUCCAAAGGACGGAUGGCAGCUCAUCGAUCCAGCAGCCGGCCGACCGCUCCAAAGGCUCGAUCAGUCGGGGCUUGAUGCCGGAGAGGAUGAGGCCGUUUGCUCGCUCAACUUGGCCAUUUGACUGCGGAUGGGCAAUGGACGCUAGGUCCAAUCGGAUGCCCUGCGUCACGCAGAAACGGGCCAAGGCUCCUUUGGCAAAAUUUGUGCCAUUAUUAGUGAUGAUGCUGUGCGGUACUCCGUACCGAGUGGUGAUGUCUGCAAUGAAAGUCACGGCAGUCGGCCCAUUCAACUUCUUGAUUGGUUUUGCUUCAAUCCACUUGGUGAACUUGUCCAGUGCGACAAGCAGAUGGGUCAUGCCGCCGCAUGCUGUCUUGAAUGGUCCCACCAUAUCCAAGCCCCAGAUGGCAAAGGGCCAUGCUAGGGGAAUGGUCUUGAGUGCAGAAGCCGGUAGAUGUUGCUUCGAGCUGAACUUCUGACACCCUUUGCAAUGCUUGACUAGAUCCUUGGCAUCCUCCAAGGUAGUCGGCCAGAAGAAACCGUGGUGGAAAGCUUUGGCCACGAGUGAUCUGGAAGCUGCGUGGUGGCCACACUCGCCUUGGUGGAUAUCUCUAAGGAUUGCUUGGCCCUUCUCUGCUUCUACGCAGCGCUGGAAAACUCCAGUCACGCUGCGCCUGACGAGCUCUCUGUUCACUAUCGUGUAGGUUCCUGCUCGACGCUGUACUUGCCGGCCCGAGAUCUCAUCAGCCGGAAGCUCUCUAUUCCCCAGAAACUUGAGGAUGAGCUCUGCCCAUGAUGGUACUUGAAUCUCUUCUAUUGUCACUACAGCCACUUGCACGAGGGCGGUUGGGCCGGGAGGCGGCGGGUCGACGUUGAUUGCCGCUUGCUGCGUGGCUGAAGUCCCGGGGCUGACUGCUGCAGCCCCUGGGCCAGGUGCGACUGCUGCAGUCCCCGAACCGCUUGGUGAAGUCCCCGAGCCGCUUGGUUAAGUCCCCGGGUCGACUGGUGCAGCCCCCGGGCCGGGUUGCGAAGUCCCCGGGACGGGUGCGACUGCCACAGUCCCCGUGCCGCCUGCUGAGGUCCGCGAGCCGGCUGCUGCAGCCCUAGAGUCGGAUCCGACUGCUUCAGGAGGAGCCAGCACAAAUAUGGACUCAGAUUCUGGGGAAGGCUUGAUCGGCGGCUUGAGGAGGCGCUGAAGGGAGACACCGGCUGGUAUUGCUUGCCGGGUGGAGCUGAUUCGUGCCAAGGCAUCUGCUUGCUCAUUGUCGGCUCUUGGCACGUGAAGGAAUUUGCACCCCUCGAAGUAUCCACGGAUUUGCUGGACGAGGAAGCGGUAGCUUGCCAUAUUUGCAUCCUUGGCGUCCCAGUCACCAGAAGACUGCUGGACCACCAAGUCGGAGUCGCCGUAGCACAGGAUCCGGCGAAUGCCGAUCGCUUUGGCCAAUCGGAGGCCGUGUAUUAGUGCUUCGUACUCGGCCACAUUGUUGGAGGCGGCAAAGUGGAUUUGCAAUGUGUAUUUGAGCUUGUCGCCUUUGGGAGAGGUGAGGACGAUGCCGGCUCCCAAACCGGUGCGCAUCUUCGAACCAUCAAAGUGCAUCCGCCAAUGGGUGGAGUUCGGCGCUGGUGGCAGGUACUGGGUCUCGGCCCAAUCGACAAGGAAGUCGGCCAGUGCUUGGGACUUGAUGGCAGUGCGGGGCUGGUAGAAGAUGGUGUAGGGGGCCAACUCGAUGGCCCAUUUUGCCACUCGGCCAGAUGCAUCUCUGUUGCCAAUGAUCUCAGCGAGUGGGGCAGUGCAGACAACCGUGAUCGGGUGCUCUUCAAAGUAUGGCUUCAGCUUCUUGGCGGCAAAAUGCAUGCCGUAGCACAUCUUCUGAUAGUGAGGGUAGUUCUGCUUAGAAGUUAACAGCACCUCGCUCAAAUAGUACACCGGCCUCUGGACCGGCUGUGCCUUGUCGUCCUCCGGGCGCUCCACCAUUAUGACUGUGCUGAUCACCCGGCUGGUGGCAGCGGUGUAGAGGUACAUGAGCUCUUUAGCAGUCGGAGCCGCCAGGACAGGCGGCGUGGUCAACAUCUUUUUCAGCUAGAGAAAAGCUUCGUCCGCCUUGUCGUUCCACUCGAAAUGAGUGGUUUUCUUCAUGAGCUGGUACAGGGGAAGAGCCUUCUCGCCCAGCCGACUGAUGAACCGGCUGAUGGAUGCCAAGCAGCCGAUGAACUUCUGGACGUCUCGCAGUCGGGUAGGCUUCUCCAUCCUCUCGAUGGCUUUGAUCUUCACCGGGUUGCACUCAAUGCCGCGUUCUGAGACCAGGAAGCCAAGGAGCUGGCCGGCUGGUACUCCGAACACACACUUUUCUGGGUUGAGCUUGAUUUGAAAUCGGUGCAGAUUUUCAAAGGUUUCCUUGAGAUCUUCGAGGAGUGUGUUGCGCUUCUCCGUCUUCACCACAAUAUCGUCUAUGUAGACGUGGGCAUUUCCGCCGAGUUGCUUGAGGAGGCAUUUCUGCAUGCAACGCUGAAGCAUGGCACCGGCAUUUCUCAGGCCGGAUGUCAUGGUCAGGUAGCAGAAGGCUCCGAAUGGUGUGAUGAAGGCGGUCUUCAGGCGGUCUGCCGGGUUCAACUUGAUUUGGUGGUAUCAUGAGUAGGCAUCCAAAAAACUCAACAGCUCGCAUCCGGCUGUGGAGUCUAUGACUUGGUCAAUCCUUGGCAAAGCAAAUGGAUCUUUCGGGCAGGCCUUGUUGAGGCUGGUGUAAUCAAUGCACAUGCGCCACUUGUUAUUCUUCUUUAGUACAAGGACUGGGUUGGCAAGCCAUUCCGGGAAGAAAACUUCCAUGAUGAAGCCGGCUGCCAACAGACGAGCGAUCUCUUCUUCGACGAUUCUUCUCUUCUCCUCCGACAGUCGACGGAGGGGUUGCUUGACUGGCUUAGCAUCUUCUCUGACAUGUAGCUUGUGCUCGGCGAAAUCCGUCGGAACAACCGGCAUGUCCUUGGGGGACCAUGCGAAAAUGUCCCGAUUCUCACGGAGGAAAUCGACAAGCUAGCUUUCCUAUUUGCUGUCAAGGUUUGCACCUAUGACAGCGUACCUCUCCAGGUGCUCUAGGUCCAACGGUAUCUUCUUUGUCUCCUUGGUCGGCUUGAAGGAUCCUUCGACUUCCGACUCCUUGGGAUCGGGGGACAUGUCCGGCUGCUUGCCGGCCAUGGCCACAACCCGGUCAAGGAGCCGCUUCUCGGCAGUGAUCACAAGGGACUCGGCCAGCCGGCUGCUAGCGGUUGCACAGUCGAAUGACUUCUUGUAAUCUCCGGAGAUGGUAAUGACUCCCUUGGCGCUUGGCAUCUUCAUCUUGAGGUAGGCAUAGUGUGGCACCGCCAUGAACUUGGCUAAGGCAGGUCGGCCAAGCAGUGCGUGUUACGGGCUUUCCAGGUCAACUACCUCAAACCAUAUGGGCUCUCGGCGGAAAUGAUCUUUGUCUCCGAAGAGGACAUCUAUCUUGAUCUUGCCGAUUGGUGAGUGAGAAAGGCCAGGAACUAUGCCAUGGAAGACAGUCCGACUGGGCAGGAGGUGCUUGGGUUUGAUCUUCAAUUUCUCCAUGGUGUCACGGUAUAGGAUGUUGAUGCUGCUGCCGCCAUCUAUCAGGAUUCGGGAGAAACGAGCAGCUCGCCUCUCCGUAGCAAAGGUUGUGUCCAACACCAAAGCGUAAGAACCCGGAGAAGGCAUUACUUCCGGGUGGUCAGCUCGGCUCCAACUGAUUGGCUUCUCUGACCAGUGCAUGAACUCUGGGGCUUCAAUGGCUACGGCAUUCACCUCUCGGGACUGUUGGCGCCGGCUGCGCCUAUCAUCGGCCAUACUGGUGAAAACAACAUAUGCUCCGUGCUCUUCAAGGAAUUCAUCUUGAAUGGCAGCGACUGCUGGCCAGUAGGCGGUGGAGGUAGCAGUCCUUCGCCCUUGGAGAUUCGCGUGAGCCAGUGACACUUCCGAGUGGUGUGAUUGGACGGCUUCGCGCCGCUAUGGAACUUACAGGGAGCAUCGAGGGUUUGCUCAUAGGAGAAGGCGGGCAGCCAAUUCAGCUUGCCGCCUCUCUGACGCUAGGUCUGGGGCUGCCCUUCUGGCUGCUGAUCUUCAACUGUUGCCAGUUGCCGGCUGGUGGGAGCCGGCAUCGGGGCUUUUCGCUUGUUGUCGUUCUGCUGCUGGCGUCGACUGGAGUCGCCAGCCGGGGUCCGAGGAGCCUGAGGAGCCACUUUGCCGGAUGCAUCAACUUGAAUCUCCACCUUCAUGGAGGAGUCGGCCCUGGCAUACUUGUCCGCUAUGAUCAGCAACUCGUCGAGGGUGGCCGGCUCGUCGCAGAGAAGCUUGUGCUUGAGCAGAGUGCCUUCUCUGUACCAGAAUGUGAAGUACUCAAUAGCCUGCACCUCGUGCACGCCUUCGCAAGAGUUGCGCAGCUCGGCCCAGCGCGUGAGGUAGUCGUGAUUCGACUCGUUGGGGCCUUGGACGCACAAGGAGAGCCGGCGAGGCUUGGGCGGCCGCUUGUACGUGCUGGUGAAGUUGCGGACAAAGGCUUCAGUGAAAUCUACCCAGCUGUUGAUGCUGCAGGGCUUCAGGCUGUUCAGCCAUGUCCGGGCGGUGCCCUGGAGCAUGAGCGGAACAUACUUCACGGCGACAUGCUUGUUGCCGUUUGCUAUGCUGACGGCUGUGGAGUAGUCGACCAGCCAGUCCUCCGGCUUCAUGGAGCCGGUAUACUUGGACGUAUCUCUUGGGAGUGUGAACCCUUUGGGGAAGGGCUCGUCGCGGAUGCGGGGGCCAAAACAAGGCGGGCCCAGCGCAUCUUCUUCUAGCGCCAGGGAUCGGCUGAGGCGAUCGAUCCGGUGGCGGGCAUCACUUUCUCCGAUUCCUUCUCGGGGGCCGAGGCGGUCGCCGAGUGUCGGAUGAUCAACAGGCGGCGGGGAGACGCGUCUUUCUCUGCGCGGGGGAGGCUGGUAGUCGCCUGGUCGUUCCAUCGCUCGUGGGCGGCUGUCUUGGUCGCGCUAGAUGGUGAUGUGCGUCCGGCUGUGGCUCGCAGCCAACUCCUUGUCUCGCCGUCCGCGGGCGCCACCAGUCGGCGCCUGGGACGUCGCGCCAUGCUCCCGGCGGGGAGGCGGGUCGUUGUUCCGCCGGUUGGGCUCCUCGACGCGGCAGCCGGCUUCUUGCUGCUCAGCAGCCGCGUCAAUGAGUCGCUGGACGCGCUCCGUCAUAUGGCGACGCUCAUCGACCUCGAGGUUGUCCAGCUCGUCUGCUGCCACCUGGGCAGCUCAUAUGUUAUCCCUGGGCGUGGCGUAGACGGGGCGAUCUGCCCCGAACGUGCUGGCAAUGGCCGCGCCAUGCUGACGGACCACACCGAUGUGGCUGGGCCCGCCAGGAGCCGGCGUUCCGCCAACGGCGCGGUUCAUCUUGUGCUGGUAAGCCUCCGAAAGGCGUCUCAUGCUGGCUAGCUUCUUGGCGCUUUCGACGAGCUGGACGCUGCGUGCUUCCAGCGUCUCGGCGUCGGCGUCUUCUGCGAUGGGUGCAGACAGGUCUUGCAGCAAUGACUCGAGUGGGUCUCGGGCACCAUCACUGGAAACUCCAUCAUGGCUGAUGACGAGCACCUCCGUGACGGUGCUGCUGCCACUGUCGGCACGGGGGAGGGGAUCAUCAACGACCACCAUGUUGGUGGGGAAUGCGUCGAGCGACGCUGUGUAGGAGUCGACGAGCAUCGGGUCGGUGGAGCCAACCGACUCCAAGUCGACGGCCGACUCGUUGGUGACGUGGAGCUGGUCGAGGAGGCUGAAGAGGCGGCUCUCGGGGCCGUUAGUGCCCGCGUCGGACGCAGGCUCAUCGGAGAGGCAGAUUUAGCCAACAAGGUCGGCGAGGCAGCUUGCCGCGCAGGCGACCUCCGCGCCAAGCAACGCGUUGGCGCAAACACCAUCUGGCGUGCCUGGCUGGCUGCGCUCGCCAGGGAGGAAGAGGGUUCCCGUCCAGAACAGAUCUCCGGACGACGGUGCACCUAGCCGCACGGUGGGCGCCAAAUGUCGGGGGUUUGGUGCGACAUAUGCCAAAGGAUGGCUUAUCAUGAUGGGGACUAGUAAGACGUCGCCGGUGCCAGGAAACGGGAUGAGGCGAAGACAUGCACGCCAGCGAAUCUUACCUAGGUUCGGGGCUCUCCAUGGAGAUAACACCCCUAGUCCUGCUCUACGGGGUCUCCGCAUGAUCACUCAAGCAACAAUGGUGGCUACAAGCUUGCUCCUUGAGCUGUUUCUCUAGAGGGGGAAGGAGAGCAAGUCUAGCCUUAGCUUCCUCUCUCUAUAUAGGUGUGUGGAUGAACAAGAGGCUGAACCCUUUGCAUGGGUGCCCUGGGGGGUUUAUAUAGGCCUACCCCCCAGGGGUACAAUAGUAAUCCGGCCGGGUGUUGGCCCAAACCGUCAGUAUCUCUGGUCGCUGGCUUCUCCGCUGGCCGGUGGGGCCCGCCGCCUGGUGGGUCCCGCCGUCUGUCCAGUACUUGGCCGACAGGCCGUACCCGCCGCUUGCGGGUCCUGCCGGCUGCCCGAUACUGUAGCGAUGCGUCUAAUGAUGCGUGCUUUGUCGGGCGAGGCGUGGCUACAGUGCCGCCGCCUAGCGGGCGUUCACUGUAGCCAUUCCUCGUUUUAUCUGGUUAAUGGUGCACCAGUCCCCAAGAGGGGGAGGGCCGCCUGGUCAUCUGCCAGCUUCUACUGAGCUGACUGGCCAGGGACGGCCGCCUUCCGGUCUUCUCGUUGUCAAGUGGGGCCCGCCGCCUGCGGGCCGUACCGAUAGCCCGUCGUGGGGGCACGGCCCCCUCUGAUAGGGGUGACCGCCGUUUCGACCGUAGGAGGUCCGUUUCCUCCGUUUUGCGGUACGCCACACCCCUCCCCAUGAACACGACGCAUUCCGUUGCCUCCCCAUGAACACGACGACGAUGCUGUUUCUCCGUUCCGACCCAGCCAUGUACGCAAGCCCUCGCCGUACGUAUGCGCGAGUACGCGUUCGAGACCCUGCCCGUAUGUACGUACGUGGCCGUAUUUUCUUGCUUGCGCCCUGGCCGCUGUACGUACGUGUACAUGCUACGUGCGCGCCUCUACUACGACACGUACGCGCCUCUACCACGACACGUGCGCGCCUCUACAUCGACCAGUAUAUAUGUACGUACACGUUCGCGACCAGAAUGACAACGCUACGUACGCUUCGACCAGGUGGGUGCCGACUGUCAGGCACUUCCUUGCCUGCGAAGAUGUAGCUGGUGGGUCCCAGCAGUUAGGGGGCGAAUCGUUUUUUUUUUGCCCGGACGCACUUCCUUGCGUGCGAAGAUGUAGCUGGUGGGUCCCAACAGUCAGGGGGGAAUCGUUUUUUUUGCCCGGACGCACUUCCUUGCGUGCGCAGGUGUAUCUGGUGGGUCCCGGCAGUCAGGGGGGAAACGUUUUUUUCGCGAAAUACGGUGGCCCGUCCGGUGGGUCCCUGCUGUCAGCUGGAGGAAUCAUUAUUUUCCGCGUAAUAAGGAGGCACUUCCUUGCUGCCGCCGUGGACCCAGCUGUCGGCCUCUCCACGUACAGUCCACGUCCGAUGGAAGUCGUUCCUUGACCACAUUGACCAUGCCGCGCCAAGAGCACCAGGGCGGUGGACGACGGCGAGGCCUAGGAAGGGGACGACACGGAGCCAGUGAAGACGCGGCAGUGGAUGCCCACGCGGAAAGGAGUAUGAGGGUUCACUCGUUCGGCUGCGGUGUGAGGCUCCCAUCGCCGCAGGGCCUGGCCAGCGGUGGGUAUAGUAGGGGCGGUGAGGCCUCUGCGGCAGCACAGCCGGCCACGAGAGGCAGGAGCAGGCGGCACGACUGGCGCUGCUUUGGGCAGCUGGAGCAAGAAGACCAGAGGUUGAAGAAGCACUACGGCCGUUGCAUGGACAUCGUACGGUCACUGGAGCUAGAAUCGUUCAUAUUGACUAAGUUGACAAAGCCCUCCGUCCCCGUCAACUUAGUAGGCCCACAAGUCAGCCUCCCACCAAUGUGGGUCCCAGCUAGCAGGGGGAGUAUUCAUUUUUUUGUGCGUAAUAAGGAGGCACUUCCGGUGGGUCCGACUUGACAGUGGGGCGAACGUUUUUUUCGCGAAAUACGGUGGCCCGUCCGGUGGGUCCCAGCAGUCAGGGGGGAAACAUUUUUUCGUGAAAUAAGGUGGCCCGUCCGGUGGGUCCCCGCUGUCAGGUGGAGGAAUAAUUAUUUUGCGCGUAAUAAGGAGGCACUUCCUUGCGGCCGCCGUGGACCCAGCUGUCAGCCUCUCCACGUACAGUACUCUUGCGAUGGAAGUCGGUCGUUGACCACGUUGACCACGCCGCACCGAGAGCACCAGGGCAGUGGACGACGGUGAGGCCUAGGAAGGGGACGACGCGGAGCCAGGGAAGACGCAGCAGUGGAAGUCCGCGCGGAGAGGAGUACGAGGGUUCACUGGUUCGGCUGCGGUGUGAGGCUUCCGUCGCCGCAGAAUAACAGGGGGUGUGGGUGAGUGGAGAGAUGGCCUGGCCAGCGGUGGGUGUAGUAUGGGGGCGGUGAGGCCUCCGCGGCAGCACAGCCGGCCACGGGAGGGAGGAGCAGGCGGCACGACCGGCGCUGCUUUGGGCGGCUGGACCAAGAAGACCAUAGGUUGAAGAAGCACUACGGCCAUUGGAUGGAGAUCGUACGGUCACUGAAGCUAGAGUCGUUUAUAUUGACUAAGUUGACAAAGCCCUUGGUACGCUCCAACUUAGUAGGCCCACAGGUCAGCCUCCGAAACGGUGCGCCCCAGAUGUCAGGGGGAGGAAUCAUUUUUUGGGCGGCCGAAGCUAAGAAUAUCCGAGAUUGUGAAGAAGCACGACAUCCGUUGGAUAGACAUCCAACGACCACUGCUGCUAGAACCGUGUGUUGACUAUAAUAAGUUGACAAAGCCUUGCAUACGCGUCAACUUAUUUUUUAGGGGACGCGUCACUUAGUAGGCCCACAAGUGUGUGGCAGAGAACUUAUAGCCCAUUUGCGUUUUGUAAGAAUGUACAGCCCACUUUUGAAUUCUAAUGGAAUUUACAACAGCCCAUUUACAGUUUGUUAAAAGUACAACCCAUUUUCUAGCUAGGACAACGAUUAAUAAUUUCAACCAACCGUUGAAGACAGAAUCCAAUAAAAUUUCCCACAUUUUGAUGGGAUCCGAAAUAUUUUUAUCCAGAAAUUUCUAGUCAGGUUAAAUAUAAAUUUGUAUUACGUAAAAAUCCAACGAAACAUUGCGCGCGCAACAAUGAAAAUUUAAGAUUUCAAAAUCCAUAAAUAAUAUUUUAUAAACUAAUUUUGUGUUUGGUGCAUUUUUUUAUAGUUACUGCCCAGUUUUUAUAAUUACAUCCCAUUUAUUAUUUUUUAAAGCCCAUUUUCCUCUUAUGCCUAAUGCAUCCCUCCUAGGAAAGAUUUGCAGCCCAGCGGGGCGGAGAAUAACAAGUUGACCUUGCCUGGGUAUUCCUCAAAAAGACGUAUAGCUGGGCUAGCCAUUUUCAUCUUGAAAAAAUUAGUAUCUGGGCUGGAUAUCUGGCUUGGGUGUGGCACCCCGGCUCAGAGAAAACCGGAACGCCCCGUAUUCCAGCCCAGAGAUCGAGGAGAAGUCUUCUGGAAUACGGCACUGCUUAGCAUAGAACAAACCAGCUUUCUAUUAUAUCACGAAUAUGAAUACAAGGUCUCCGAUAUUACAAUGAAUAACAUCGGCACGGCGACACUACGCCAUCCUCAGUUGCUCUAUGCAAGCAGCAGAACAACUCGAAGCAGCGGAAUAACUCUAGCAGCGGAACAACGACGACGGUGGUGAACUCCAAUCCGCAGGGACUCUGGCUGGAACGCUUAUCCUAGCUCACAAACAAAGAAUCCAUGGCAAACAAGCAUGCAAUCCAGGCACGACUUGCAAGCUGGCAUGACACGCCAGGUCAGUACAUUGAAUGUACUUGCAAGCUCACAAUUAACCAGAAGCAUUCAAGACAAACAACAACAUGGCAAUUACAGGUUAAGCAGGAAUUAACAUGAGUUCCUCAUAACAACAUGACCUGAACAACAUGACACCCAAAGUAAUACUCCCAGAAUAAUACCAGGUACCAUCAUGAAAAUAAUCAUAAUAGCCACUAAUAAUCCAAAGGCAACAUGAACACGAUACAGCUAGAACAACAUGAGCAUAGCAUGAGCAUAUGAGUCUGACGAUACUAGCAUGCAACAUGAAUGACACUAUAUGCAUUAUUUAUUUUGCUCGGGUUACUACGUAACCAUCACAUGCCUCACUUACCAACCUCGGACAUCACACGAUUAUCUCAGGAUCAAAUCAAGCUUGGUAUAAACAAUACCGUAGUAAUCAUUAACUGACCACAAGGAGCUUGAUCUUUACCCAUGAUUCUCGCACAACAUCGCGAAUAUACAAUAACUCGGUAUCCUCGAUACCACCGUGAUCCUUCCGGCGAUCACAACCACGACCAACACUUGGUCUCAAACCGUCAUCCUUACGGCGAUCACAACCGCGGCCAAUAUUUGGUCCGUGAUCCUUACGGCGAUCACAACCAACUUAUCUCAUCAUCAAACCGGGGUUGUUAUUAAUCAAGUUAUUAUUAAUACUAUUGACUCACGGUGGGACCGACACGAACUGGGCCCUUAUCCGCGGGCGCGGCUAUCGAUAGAUUUAAUAUACACUCUGCAGAGGUUAGCACACUGUACCCACACUACGGAACCCAUGGCCUCGCACUCCCAUUCGGGUGGACCAACGGCGUUCCGACAAAACCGAUCUACUGCCGUGACAUUCUCCCGGCCACUCCGACCAAAUCCCCAACGGGCUAGUCCUGGGUGGCCCCGUGUCUACCAAAGAUACCCCGACCACCGUCGUGGUCAAAACACUCCCACUCGGGGACCGGAUCCACAAAACUAAAAACAACGAGCACACAAGGUUAUGUCUACCUACCUGAUCAGGGUAAGCACGCCCAUAACCUUCCCUCGUGGGAGGCACUGGCGAGAUGCACGACAAUAGACCCAGUUAGGACCUCCCCAUAAGGUAAGCGUGGUUGCACUAGUCAGUUUCGAUAUGGUGGCACCAUGACUCAGCCAACAGUUGUUCAAGUUCAAUUUAAUCCGGUUAAACUUGAAUGCAAUAUGCUGAGCCAUGAUAAAAUAACAUGAUGCAUAUACAAAGCAUGAGAAUGAUAUCAACAUAAGCACGGGAUGCAGCAUAACUAUCCACCAUAUCAACUAUGAAUAAUUUCCAACUGAACAUGGCAUAAUGACGAGCAUAAAUAUUACAAGUGCAACACUACUCAUAGCAUAACAUGACCACUAGCAUCAACCAUAAACAUCAUGCAUGAACAUAACAACAAUGCAAGCAUGCAAGCAUUUAACCAACUGGAUGCAAUGGAACAUGUAUAACAACGGUACUCGGGACGGAUGGUCGUCAUGCACCGAAGACCAUUACCAACAUCAACAUGUACUACUAGCAAGCAUAAGCAUAUGAAAGGAAUACUGGCAACUAGCAGGGCAUGAUAACCAGGUGCAUAACAACAUAGCAAACAUGGAAAUACUAACCCAGAAGCAUUACCGAAACAACGAUAACCAUAUUUUAAACAAGCAAACAUUUAAUAAAUAUUCAAGUUGAAAACCAUGGCUACUGCAUGACUAUCAUGCAAGUGGGUAUUGUGGCUUGCCUGGGGGUGAAGAAGGCACCGGGGAGAAGUGCGGUGAAGCCGCGGAAAGAUUUGCCAGAAACAGUUCUCUCUCGGAGGGGCUGUUUACGUGCAAGGGCAAAAAGGUCAUUUUCACAGUGUCAAACCAUAGUGGAAAUGAGACCAACAGAACAGGCUCGACGAAACGAAGAAGUAGGCUUUGGAUUCACCUCAUUUGGAGUUAUGGAUAAAAAGUUAUGAGGUGUUUUCUGCCAGGGACCCAUCUGUAAUGAAAAGAUUUUCAGACUGGACUUAGGAAGAAAAACAGAAAGCAUACUUCAGCAAAUACGCUUUCCUAACGCGUAAGCGUACUUUCAGCCGAAGCACCCGGAGAAUUCGCUUUCAACACAUGAAGACGUACUCACCAGAACUGCGUGUCCACUUAUCCACGUCAGCAAGCGCCUCGUGCGGCUGACGGGUGGGACCCGCGUUGACCUUCUCUCUCCUCCCUCUCCUCCUCUUCUUCCCCCGACGCGCGCUGAGGCAGAGGCGAGACCGACCGCCCCCACGACGAUCGCCGGCGACUCCGUCCACCGUAGGUGGCGCUCGACCUACCCACAUGCUCAGGGCGACGGGGCCGACCCGUUCCAGGACAGAACAUACCUCGAGGAGGGCGGGGUUGAGAGCCGCAAGCACUCCAGCGGAGGGGGCUUUGGGUGGGAUUUGGCUAUGGGGCUGCGGGGCACUCCGGCGAGGGGAAAGGAGUUGGGGUGAGUUGCUGGACUCCGGGGAGGCUAUUGGUGGGGACAGAACGGAGGGGAAGGGCUCGGCUUGCCCGAAUCGAAGAGGGGCAUAGGCGGCGGCCAUGGCGGCAAGGGCGGGCUCAGGAGCUCUUAGAGCUCGAAUGAGAGGUCGGGGAGGGGUAGAGGAAUGUGGGAAGGGUGCUGGUGAGCUCGAAACGCUCAGGGGAGGGCCAUUUAUAGGCAGGGCGAGGGAGGCCGAGCUGGCACCGCCGCGGAUGCGUGUCCGGUGCCGCGGACGCGUGCCCGCGCGCUCGAGCUCGGGGGCAGGCGACGAGGGAGGCACAAUAGAGGUUCUCACGGGGCAAAGGAGGCCAAGGGGCGCAGGGACGAAGACGACGGCAACGGGAAGAUCCAAAGCUCCACUGCGCUCUCGUGGGCGCGCGGCGGCUUGCGUCGGUGGGGAAGCAGACGGAGGGGGAGAGGGGUCCAGGGGAACGGCGACGACGAGAGGAAGACAGUGGACAUGCCCGUGCUCGCUGAGACACCGAGCAGAGGAGGGGCCCGAGCAAGAAGCCAUUCUGGACGCGGCCAUUGCACGCCAGAGAGGUGGUCACCGCGCGCGCUGGUGCACACAGCGCGUUCUGGCCGGGCCGACCAUGUCCCGUGGAAUGACCCUAGUGACCUUAGUCUAAAUGAAGAAAUAAAUCAAUCUAGGGGCAAAGAAGAGAUUUGCAGAUGGCCCCAAAGCAAACCAGCACCCAAGUGUUUGUGCUGUGCUGUGGGGACACCAGCUAGGUAACUCAGUAAAAUCUUGUCUGGUAAUGAUCAUACACUAAGGUGACUACGAUCACAGGAAAUCAGCUUAAGAGGAGGAGUUUAAAGGGUGGUUGCUGUAGAAAGUGCCAUAAUGGCCAGAAAUGGGAAUUUGGAUGAUGCACUCACAUAGUUGCAUCAAUUGAGCUGCAAAUGGUUAUGGCCCAAUGAUUUGAAGAUGUACAGAUGCCCAAGGAGUUUCAUGCCAUUUGGAUGAACCAAAAUAGCACUUGCUUUAGAAAGAUUUAUUCUGACCAGAAACUUGGAAAAAUUUCACAGGGCAAAUGGUCAAAGGGAUUGAGCCACAACUUGGUGGUGGGAAGUUAUAUGGAUACUAGAAGGCUUUGAAAAAUUGGCAGCCAUAAUGGAGCAAGAUAAAAUAUACUUGCUUCACAAACUAAAAUUUUGACCAGAAACUAAGAAUUGAAGUUGAGCUCACAUGGAGGCAUGACAUGAGCUAUACUUUGGUGGAGAGCUAUGACAUGAUGAUAUGAGGGAUCAUGAAAAAUGGAAACUCAUUUGGAUAUGCCUAGCUUGUACUUCCUUCACAACCAGUUCCCUCAGACAGGAACUUUGAAUAAGUGCUCAGGAAUAUUUACUAGGCAAAUGAGGUUGCACUUUGGCAUGUGGCAAUGAUAUGGACUGGAAAAGGUGGUCAAGGAGUUUGAGGUUAAUUGGAAAAAGUAAAAUAGCACUUGCUUCACAAUGUGCCAUUUAGGGUAGAAUAGGAAAUGAAUUAUUUGAGCAUGAUGAUAAACAUGACAAAUGAAAUAUUUUUCUAUAUUUGAGAAAGAUAUGACCCAAACAAUUUAUGAGAAUUAUUUGGGAAUUUUAGGAGUGAUGGAAAUAAAGGUUGCUUCACAACCUAGGGCAAUUUGAGUUAUUCCUUUAAUAGAAAAGGAAUAUCCCCAAUAAAAAGAAUAUUGGGAUUUGGGCUAGGAUGAAAAUGAUAGGGUCUAGGGAAGGAUUUGGGAAUGACAAGCCACUUUGGAAGCAAAGAAGAGUUCAUCUUCUUCAGUUUCCAGACCACAAGGCCACGGAAAAAGAAAACUCAAGCAAAAACCUCAGAAAAACAAAAGAAAAAGAAAGGGCCAAAAAUCAGGCUGUCACAAACCUUACCCCCUUAAAGAAAUCUCCUCUUAGAGAUUUGGUUGCUCACGGAACAAGUAUGAAGAUACUGACUUAAGGAAACCGUUUCCAACUCGGGUAUCCUUUUUCUUAUUUUUGUUCCCACUAAAUUUUUAUCUGACUGGCCCUGCGGUGGUUUGCUUUAAUAUAUCCAUAUUCUGACAGAUCUCACCUUGCUUGUUCAUGCUUAUACAGGCUCCAAUUUCUUUUUAGAUCUGCUGACUUAACUGACUGUGAUUGAUCCUCACGACUGAAAUAUAUGUCGGCCUCACAAAUCCAAGAGUGAUUUCCGCUGGGUGUGUCAUCCCGCACUGACAAUCUUUCAUGAAGUGGUGAUCAGAUUUUUCUUGUGGACCCCCAAGCUCUAACUCCUUGCAUUGGGUUUCUCCACUAAAUGCAGGUCCUUCAGGUUCCAAACAGUGAGUUGGGUCAUAACCGCUUUCCCGACAGCUUCUAGCUUAUCGCGGAAGUUUCUGAAUCAUCUUAACUGGUUCCACUUUCUUGAGUAUCGGAUCCGCACCAAAUAUUUGAUUGUCGCCUAUCGUGGCUAGCAUAAGGGUUUGACCUGUAGGAUAAUAUCUGCAGACUUGACUGACGGUGGUUCUGCACCACGCGGGUCUUGCAACAAUUUUCAUACCCACAUCACUGGUCUUGCUCCUUCAUUAUCGUUUUCUUGGUCUGGAUCCUUGACUGAAAGAGCUGGGUCAUAUUGCCUUUUUUUCGUAUCACCAUAGGUACUGUCGGUGCAAUUUUAUUUUUUUGGCAAUCGCAGCUUAUCCUCAUUUUUCUGACAGGGUACCCCAUUAAAUGGCAGUUUCAACUUCCCUCAAGUUCUGACUGAUUCUUGCUUCUGACCAAAAUGUUGCGGAUCUGAUUCUUGGGAUUCGCUACCAUAUGCUGUCAAUUCACAGCGUACUACCUUGUACCAAUGUCUUACUAAGGAAGAUUGGCUGGCUUGUGCUUGAAACUUUCAUCGGACAGCUUGCUAAAGAAGACUGGGUAUCGUGCUUCAGAAGCUUACCCCCUUAAAGACGUUGCUGGGGAAAAACUCAGUACCUUAUGCUGGAAUCUUUUGCAGUUGCUUACUGAAGAAGGCAGAGUACCUUGUACGGGAAAUCAUCCAUGUAUCAUACUGAAGAAGAUAGAUGAAUCUUGCCUUGGAAGCUUUUCGGGUAUCUUGCGAGGGAAGAUUGGGUUGUUUACACCAGAAGCUUCUUAUUGUGAUAUGCGGACCGAUUUCCACAUAUAUAACUAUCUUAAUAUUUUUGUUAUUGAUUUCUUGUAUGAAACGGGGUUUUGCAGGACUAUCCUCCUUUCUGAGUACAUGCCAUAUUUUUGCCUGCUUCCAGGUACAUCGGGUUCCAAAAUCAUCCUCAACAAAAAAUUACACUUGUAUCUGAGCCAUACCUUUGAUAAUAUUUUGUCAACCUUGCACACAAUUUAUCUUCUUGCUGAUUUGAUCAUUUCUGCUAUGAGGAGUGCACGCUGAGAGAGACUUGACUUUCAGUAACAUGGUCAGAUAUCCUCUAAUCUGAAUGCAGUCGGCUGAGAAUUCCAUGCUGUUGUGAGGAGUGCACAUUAAUGCAAACAUUAUACUGACAUUUCACCCAGGAUUUUCUUUUGUAUUCAGACGAGCUAUUUCCAAUUUCACUGCAGUCUGCUGACAAUUCCAUUCUGUUUAGCUGAGUUUCCAAAUAUGUGCAUUUCUUGCUGACUCUUCAGGUCCGUUGUCGGCUGACAAGCAACUUUAAUAGGGGAAAAAUUAGUAACACCGAAGGCCCAAAGAAAGAAACAAAAGAAACUACUAAAACAAAAGCACACAAACAUACUACUAAUAUAAUUAAUCAAGCAAUCAUCACAUAUUACUGCUACUCACACCAUAAUAUGCAUGCACACCUAGGCACACAAAUCGCACGGAAACUCCGGUAUUACGGUCUAAUAUGCUGUGGCGGUGUGCACGAAAAUUAUAUCCAUGUGUGGAAGGAGUUGGCAUAACCGAAGCUACACCAAGCACUAGCUGAACAGUGGCUGGAUCUGGAUGGAUACAGAGGUGAGAACGGACUUGACGAUCAAGUAGCGAGACACAAAAGUCACGACCACCGCAUCAUCAAGCGUAAGAAGGGAAUCAUACCCGUCCAAAGAAUGAAAUGACAUGGCAAGAUAACAGUGGAAGACUGGGUUUAUUGGCAUUGCCCUUUUUCUGAUAACAAAGAUCAGCAAGGGUUGCCAAGGGGACGAGAAGGAGGGCAUGGAUGAUGAUGUGGUUGCAUCACACCGAAGAGCAGGCAUGCUAUGAAAGAGGGUGCAGGUAGUGGAUCGAAAUCGAUGCCACCUACACUCACAAGAUUAACCGUUAGUGACAAAAUAAUAAUCUAUAUGCAUGUUGUGCGACAAACAAAUGCAACAAUCAAGUGCAACAAACCAACUGGAGUCUAUACUACCGUUUUCUAACGUUCGCACAGGCUAAGGCAUCCUAUAGCCAGACCUGCUCUGAUCCAAGCGCUGUGGCACCUGGCUCAGAGAAAACUGGAAUGCCCCGUAUUCCAGCCCAGAGAUCGAGGAGAAGUCUUCUGGAAUACGGCACUGCUUAGCAUAGAACAAACCAGCUUUCUAUUAUAUCACGAAUAUGAAUACAAGGUCUCCGAUAUUACAAUGAAUAACAUCGGCACGGCGACACUACGCCAUCCUCAGUUGCUCUAUGCAAGCAGCAGAACAACUCGAAGCAGUGGAAUAACUCUAGCAGCAGAACAACGACGACGGUGGUGAACUCCAAUCCGUAGGGACUCUGGCUGGAACGCUUAUCCUAGCUCGCAAACAAAGAAUCCAUGGCAAACAAGCAUGCAAUCCAGGCACGACCUGCAAGCUGGCAUGACAUGCCAGGUCAGUACAUUGAAUGUACUUGCAAGCUCACAAUUAACCAGAAGCAUUCAAGACAAACAACAGCAUGGCAAUUACAGGUUAAGCAGGAAUUAACAUGAGAUCCUCAUAACAACAUGACCUGAACAACAUGACACCCAAAGUAAUACUCCCAGAAUAAUACCAGGUACCAUCAUGAAAAUAAUCAUAAUAGCCACUAAUAAUCCAAAGGCAACAUGAACACGAUACAGCUAGAACAACAUGAGCAUAGCAUGAGCAUAUGAGUCUGACGAUACUAGCAUGCAACAUGAAUGACACUAUAUGCAUUAUUUAUUUUGCUCGGGUUACUACGUAACCAUCACAUGCCUCACUUACCAACCUCGGACAUCACACGAUUAUCUCAGGAUCAAAUCAAGCUUGGUAUAAACAAUACCGUAGUAAUCAUUAACUGACCACAAGGAGCUUGAUCUUUACCCAUGAUUCUUGCACAACAUCGCGAAUAUACAAUAACUCGGUAUCCUCGAUACCACCGUGAUCCUUCCGGCGAUCACAACCACGACCAACACUUGGUCUCAAACCGUCAUCCUUACGGCGAUCACAACCACGGCCAAUAUUUGGCCCGUGAUCCUUACGGCGAUCACAACCAACUUAUCUCAUCAUCAAACCGGGGUUGUUAUUAAUCAAGUUAUUAUUAAUACUAUUGACUCACGGUGGGACCGACACGAACUGGGCCCUUAUCCGCGGGCGCGGCUAUCGAUAGAUUUAAUAUACACUCUGCAGAGGUUAGCACACUGUACCCACACUACGGAACCCAUGGCCUCGCACUCCCAUUCGGGUGGACCAACGGCGUUCCGACAAAACCGAUCUACUGCCGUGACAUUCUCCCGGCCACUCCGACCAAAUCCCCAACGGGCUAGUCCUGGGUGGCCCCGUGUCUACCAAAGACACCCCGACCACCGUCGUGGUCAAAACACUCCCACUCGGGGACCGGAUCCACAAAACUAAAAACAACGAGCACACAAGGUUAUGUCUGCCUACCUGAUCAGGGUAAGCACGCCCAUAACCUUCCCUCGUGGGAGGCACUGGCGAGAUGCACGACAAUAGACCCAGUUAGGACCUCCCCAUAAGGUAAGCGUGGUUGCACUGGUCAGUUUCGAUAUGGUGGCACCAUGACUCAGCCAACAGUUGUUCAAGUUCAAUUUAAUCCGGUUAAACUUGAAUGCAAUAUGCUGAGCCAUGAUAAAAUAACAUGAUGCAUAUACAAAGCAUGAGAAUGAUAUCAACAUAAGCACGGGAUGCAGCAUAACUAUCCACCAUAUCAACUAUGAAUAAUUUCCAACUGAACAUGGCAUAAUGACGAGCAUAAAUAUUACAAGUGCAACACUACUCAUAGCAUAACAUGACCACUAGCAUCAACCAUAAACAUCAUGCAUGAACAUAACAACAAUGCAAGCAUGCAAGCAUUUAACCAACUGGAUGCAAUGGAACAUGUAUAACAACGGUACUCGGGACGGAUGGUCGUCAUGCACCGAAGACCAUUACCAACAUCAACAUGUACUACUAGCAAGCAUAAGCAUAUGAAAGGAAUACUGGCAACUAGCAGGGCAUGAUAACCAGGUGCAUAACAACAUAGCAAACAUGGAAAUACUAACCCAGAAGCAUUACCGAAACAACGAUAACCAUAUUUUAAACAAGCAAACAUUUAAUAAAUAUUCAAGUUGAAAACCAUGGCUACUGCAUGACUAUCAUGCAAGUGGGUAUUGUGGCUUGCCUGGGGGUGAAGAAGGCACCGGGGAGAAGUGCGGUGAAGCCGCGGAAAGAUUUGCCGGAAACAGUUCUCUCUCGGAGGGGCUGUUUACGUGCAAGGGCAAAAAGGUCAUUUUCACAAUGUCAAACCAUAAGUAAAAUGGAACCAAUAGAAUGGGCUCGACGAAAUGAAGAAGUAGGCUUUGGAUUCACCUCAUUUGGAGUUAUGGAUAAAAAGUUAUGAGGUGUUUUCUGCCAGGGACCCAUCUGUAAUGAAAAGAUUUUCAGACUGGACUUAGGCAAAAAACAGAAGGCGUACUUCAGCAAAUACGCUUUCCUAACGCGAAAGCGUACUUUCAGCCGAAGCACCCGUAGAAUACGCUUUCAACGCAUGAAGACGUACUCACCAGAACUGCGUGUCCACUUAUCCACGUCAGCAGGCGCCUCGUGCGGCUGACGGGUGGGACCCGCGUUGACCUUAUCUCUCCUCCCUCUCCUCCUCUUCUUCCCCCGACGCGCGCUGAGGCAGAGGCGAGACCGGCCGCCCCGACGACGAUCGCCGGCGACUCCGGCCACCGUAGGCGGCGCUCGACCGACCCACGUGCUCAGGGCGACGAAGCCGACCCGCUCCAGGACAGAACGGACCUCGAGGAGGGCGGGGUUGAGAGCCGCAAGCACUCCAGUAGAGGGGCUUCGGGUGGGAUUUGGCUACGGGGCUAUGGGGCACUCCGGCGAGGGGAAAGGAGUUGGGGUGAGUUGCUGGACUCCGGGGAGGCUAUUGGUGGGGACAGAACGGAGGGGAAGGGCUCGGCUUGCCCGAAUCGAAGAGGGGCAGAGGCGGCGGCCAUGGCGGCAAGGGCGGGCUCAGGAGCUCUUGGAGUUCGAAUGAGAGGUCGGGGAGGGGUAGAGGAAUGUGGGAAGGCUGCUGGUGAGCUCGAAACGCUUGGGGGAGGGCCAUUUAUAGGCAGGGCGAGGGAGGCCGAGCUGACACCGCCGCAGACGCGUGUUCGGUGCUGCGGACGCGUGCCCGCGCGCUCGAGCUCGGGGGCAGGCGACGAGGGAGGCACAGUAGAGGUUCUCACGGGGCAGAGGAGGCCAAGGGGCGCAGGGAGGAAGACGACAGCGACGGGAAGAUCCAAAGCUCCACUGUGCUCUCGUGGGCGUGCGGCGGCUUGCGUCGGUGGGGAAGUGGACGGAGGGGGAGAGGGGUCCAGGGGAACGGCGACGACGAGAGGAAGACAGUGGACAUGCCCGUGCUCGCUGAGACACCGAGCAGAGGAGGGGCCCGAGCAAGAAGCCAUUCUGGACGCGGCCAUUGCACGCCAGAGAGGUGGUCACCCCGCGCACUGGUGCACACAACGCGUUCUGGCCGGGCCGACCAUGUCCUGUGGAAUGACCCUAGUGACCUUAGUCUAAAUGAAGAAAUAAAUCAAUCUAGGGGCAAAGAAGAGAUUUGCAGAUGGCCCCAAAGCAAACCAGCAACCAAGUGUUUGUGCUGUGCAGUGGGGACACCAGCUAGGUAACUCAGUAAAAUCUUUUUCUGGUAAUGAUCAUACACUAAGGUGACUACGAUCACAGGAAAUCAGCUUAAGAGGAGGAGUUUAAAGGGUGGUUGCUGUAGAAAGUGCCAUAAUGGCCAAAAAUGGGAAUUUGGAUGAUGCACUCACAUAGUUGCAUCAAUUGAGCUGCAAAUGGUUAUGGCCCAAUGAUUUGAAGAUAUACAGAUGCCCAAGGAGUUUCAUGCCAUUUGGAUGAACCAAUAUAGCACUUGCUUUAGAAAGAUUUAUUCUGACCAGAAACUUGUAAAAAUUCCACAGGGAAAAUGGUCAAAGGGAUUGAGCCACAACUUGGUGGUGGGAAGUUAUAUGGAUACUAGAAGGCUUUGAAAAAUUGGCAGCCAUAAUGGAGCAAGAUAAAAUAUACUUGCUUCACAAACUGAAAUUUUGACCAGAAACUAAGAAUUGAAGCUGAGCUCACAUGGAGGCAUGACAUGAGCUCUACUUUGGUGGAGAGCUAUGAUAUGAUGAUAUGAGGGAUCAUGAAAAAUGGAAACUCAUUUGGAUAUGCCUAGCUUGUACUUCCUUCACAACCAGCUCCCUCAGACAGGAACUCUGAAUAAGUUCUCAGGAAUAUUUACUAGGAAAAUGAGGUUGCACUUUGGCAUGUGGCAAUGAUAUGGACAGGAAAAGGUGUCCAAGGAUUUUGAGGUUAAUUGGGAAAAUUAAAAUAGCACUUGCUUCACAAUGUGCCAUUUAGGGCAGAAUAGGAAAUGAAUUAUUUGAGCAGGAUGAUAAACAUGACAAAUGAAAUAUUUUGCUAUAUUUGAGAAAGAUAUGACCCAAACAAUUUAUGAGAAUUAUUUGGGAAUUUUAGGAGUGAUGGAAAUAAAGGUUGCUUCACAACCUAGGGCAAUUUGAGUUAUUCCUUUAAUAGAAAAGGAAUAUCCCCAAUAAAAAGAAUAUUGGGAUUUGGGCUAGGAUGAAAAUGACAGGGUCUAGGGAAGGAUUUGAGAAUGACAAGCCACUUUGGAAGCAAAGAAGAGUUCAUCUUCUUCAGUUUCCAGACCACAAGGCCACGGAAAAAGAAAACUCAAGCAAAAACCUCAGAAAAACAAAAGAAAAAGAAAGGGCCAAAAAUCAGGCUGUCACACUAGGCUAGACGGGCCAUAGCCCGCCCAGUUAAUACCCUGCUCUCCUCUGAACAACAACGAAAUCAUCGCCAAGAAAAACUCUGCAGUGCUCACGCCUCAAAAACACAAAUACUGCUCGAGCUGCUUGGUCCCAGCUGUCGGCCGCACCUUGUGCAAUUCUCUCGUUUAUAUUGACUACAUAGGUUGACAAUGGUGUGGGACCGUGAUGUCAGGAAACCAGGAGAAAGCAAAAAAAUUAUAGUUGUACAUAAUAAGGAGGCACUUGCGUACGUACGGCUAUGGCCCUAGUGGGUCCCUAGUGUCAUCCAGUCAAAAUAAAGUCAUCUCCUGAAUCCUCAUGUUCGUUGAAGAUGUUAACAAUGCUCGGCGCCACGGCGAGCGCAACAACUCGAAGGACAACGGAGAGGGCCUCACGGGCCCUACGGAUGGUCUGAUACAGCGCCCGCUGCUCAUUCAGGAAGCCAAGAUCAUCGGACACCUAUGAGCACCUUCGAGAAACUGAGACGGCAUGAAACGGUAAGGCCGCGCUUGGGAGCUCUGGUUUAUUUCAAACCUGUAUUAACAUACAAGUGUAAUUUACUCGUCAUCGGAAACAACGCAUAAAAUAUAGGCGUAAUGAAACCGAGGGCCCGAGGUCUGUAAGUAAAACCGGCGGGUUACGCGUGUAAUUUGAGAUACCAGUGUAUAUUUUACGAGCACUGCUAUAUGGACGACAUUACCAGACGAUACAUGCACGACGUGCGUAUCAUGUCAUCCAUGGGCAAGGCCGAAACAGCAGCUAACGGCUGGAUUAGCAAUCGUGUGUGAAGUACUUCCGAUAUUUUACUAGUCGAAAUCGACCAACCAAGCGCCUUCGCCCGAGACCAUCUGCUUUAAUUUACAAGCGUCAGUUUUGCAAGCGGUUUUGGUUGGAAAACGACGAUCCAAUCACGGCCUAAUAUCAUGAGUUGGUCGGAAGAUCAUAUGGUUUCACGUCUAACCUACCUGACUUGUCGUAUAGGCUAUGAAUGAAACAUCAGACGAUGAACUUCUUAAGCACGGAAACAACAGAAGAGGAUGAUCUUCUUAACAAGCAAAUCACUGGCAUUAGAUCGACAUGCAAAACAAUGCGAAGCAUUAUUCUCAGGAGGCACGGUGAACAGCUCGUGAUGCCGCAUGCCACAACAUUCCAAGCUCAACUUUGCAAUCAAACACAAGGCCUGGCAUUACAUAGACAAUAUUCAGAACAAACUCUUAACACAGGAGUAUCUCAUCAGAGUAACUAUUUACUUCUAAACUGAACACAGGAAUAGGAAAAAACACUCGACGCUGCUCACAGCAAGGGCGUCCCACUCAAAAAUAUCAAAUGCAUGUCUUCUGGCUAACAUCAAUGAGCAAAUUUUAACAAGGUUUUCCAAUUCCAAUAUAUUAAACUAACGUCUUCUUGCUAACAUCAAUGAUUAAACUUUGACAAGCUUUUCCCAUUCAAAAUAUGUAAUGCCUAUGAUCGUGGAGUCCUGUCGUAGCUUCUUGUACUUGUUUGGGCACUUUUUGCCCAGGGCACUCCACGUGUUGUUAAAUUGCCAAUGGUCUCUGCAGACUAGUCAUGUCACCGGUGGCUAAUAAUACUCUGUAAAGCUUCUCGGUCAUUCCUUCUAUAAUGUAGCGCAAACAGUGACUGCUUCUUUCUGCAAAGUGGAAUGACCAACUGGACCCAGUAAUGCAGCAGUUUGCCUUGGACACAUUGGCUCCUUUUGUGAAGUUCAACUAAAAUCGAAGUCGGAAUAAAACCGAGCUUUAAUUUUGCUAUCCCUGUAAGCAACAAUAGGUAUAAGGGAAACAAUUACUGCGAAAUAACGGUUGAUGACUUGUACUCCCAGAAGAAAAGCAUCUACUGAUCUACUUUAUCUUAAUGGGAAACAAAGCAGGAGAGUAGCAAUUCUCCAUCAGUGUGAUUCAUUCAUAUUGACUGAGACAUUAUCUUAACAAUGCCUUGUUUCAACAUGUAUAAAGAACGACAAAGCAGAAAAGUACCAUUCCUAAAACAAUGCAACUGAUUCAUUUUAACAAAGACUUUAUCUUAAAAAUACCUUGGUUAAACAUGUAGAAAGAACUACAAAGCAGGAUAGUACCAUUCCUAACAAGUGUUGCAGUUUUGAACUAAGAUUCAGUAGUUAAUUAAUUCUGAGAGUGGCAUUGCUUAAUUUUACCAGCAACAUUAGAUUAACGAAAAGCAUAAACAGUUCCAGGGGAGAGUGGGUGCAACAACAGUAUGUGCUUCCAUCUACUUAUACAGGGGGUGAUGCAGAGUUUGUUGUAACAAAGCAACAAGCAUCAUGUCUGGGUUGGUCCCAUUUUUGUUCACUACUUAAUGGGAAAAGACAGCAAUACAAUAGCUUCAAUUCAACAUUUAUUUAAAAUAGUACCAAUACAAGUAGCACAACAUCUCAAAGCACACUGCACAAUCAUGUGGAUGAAGGCCUGUACUGACCUUUCAUGAGACGGACAAGAUAAAAUACGAAUCUGCCAACACGAAUAGGAAAUCCAAUCUCGUUUUGUGCAGUUGCACUGAAAUCAAGCAAAGUGUUUCGCGUAGCGAAGCAAAAUGUCGCAAUAGCAACAAGUUGAAUAGAUAUCCCUAUUUAAACAGAGGCAAAAAAGGAAUCAAUUACUGGCUAAUAAAGGAGGAUGAAACAUGCGGCCACAAAAAUGGUAAUCCCGCCAAUCCCUAACAAGUGUUGCAGUUUUGAAAUAAGAUUCAGUAGUUAAUUCUGAGAGUGGCAUCAAUUAUUGGCUUAUAAAGGGGGUGAUGCUGAAUUUGUUGUAACAAAGCUACAAGCAUCAUGUCUGGGUUGGUCCCAUUUUUGUUCACUACUUAAUGGGAAAAGACACCAAUACAAUAGCUUCAAUUCAACAUUUAUUUAAAACAGUACCAAAACAAGUAGCAUAACAUCUCAAAGCACACUGCACAUCAUGUGGUUGAGACAAAGAUUUGAAACAACUCGCCACGAAGACUGGAAACAAAUCUCGAUCUUCUUUUGUGCAGUUCCACCAUAAUUAAGCAAAGUCACCGGUGUGACAUUCAAGUUGAACUGCACAAAACAAUCUUAAAACAUAAGUGUUUCGAGUAGCGAAGCAAAAUGUCGCAAUAGCAACAAGUUGAAUCGAUAGCCCUGUUUUAACAGAGGCAAAAAAGGAAACAAUUACUUGCCAAUAAAGGAGGAUGAAACAAAUGGUGACAAAAAGAAGCAUCUAACUUAUCUUGGAUGGAAAACAAAGUAGGACAGUAGCAUUUCUAAAACGGUUGCAUUGAUUCAUAUUAACAGAGACAUUCUCUUGAAACAACAUUCGUUAAAAAAUGUAAUUUACUUUUAACAGUGGCAUUGCUUCAAUUUUCUGGUGGCAUUCUUAGAUUAACAACAGCAAAAUAGUUGUAUGGGACAUGCAGCACCAUGUGCGUCCACACGUAUAAAUGGGUGAUGCAGAGUAUGUAGCCAAGCAGCAUAUAUGCGCUGGUCCCAUAUUUGUUCUCUUUGAACCUUCUUCCUAUGUGAGGGCAGCAAAUCUAGUCCUGCACAAACUACCCGACCCCCCAGUUUCUUUCCCUUUUCAACAAAGAGAUCGGUUCCUUACAGAUGUGUGUACUGGGUUACCCCCCUUUUUCCCUUUUCGACCUACAAAGCGGCUGGAUAGCCAGUCUAUACUACUUUCCGCCCCUCCUUUCCUCAUUGGACCACGUCCUAGAUUCUUGCUCCAGCCCACCGCACCCUUCUUUCCUCUUUGAACCAAGACCUAGAUUCGACUACAGAUCGAAAAAGAUCCACAUGCAGCUAGAGCAACGACGGUUUCAAAGAAACUUAUACCUUAGGGUCGUCAGGAUGUGGCAAGGCAUGCGGCGGGAGGCUGGAUCUGCCCACACUACGUACGGCAGCGAGGAAGAAGGGGUCGGUGGCCCUCCCGCAUAGGCGCUGGGUGAAAGAGAACAGCGCAGCCGGCAGUGGAUUGCCUCCCUCGCCGAAGGCGAUAGAGUGAAUGCUGCACCUCCUCCCCUUCCCGGUGCGACGGGAUACGGACGCCUCCUUCACCAGCUGUGAGGGGGGAGAGAGAGAUAAGAGGCCAACACAGUCUUGUUUAGAUCUGGUGAAGAGAGGGUGAGAAACUGUGAAUAUAGCAAACCCUAGCAAAUGAACGCUGAGCCUCCAGCGUGUAACAUAUAUGGAGAGGGUGAGAGAGCGAGACGCGAGAAACUCUCUCAAACAAGAGGCUAUAAUGGAGUAAAAAAAAUCUCUCCAUAGUAGUGGUUUUAAAUAGAAUACGCGCGUUCCCGGAAAAAAGAAACGAAAACCGGCGGACAAUUUUUUAAGGGUCUGUCUAGGACACAUCAAGAUGUGACAUAGUUAUGUCACAUCUAAGUUGAUGUCCACUCUGUUUGUGGUCUAUUUUUUUCCUAUUUUUUUUUCUUGUUGCUACAUUAUAUACUUGUGGGAGCUUAGAUGUGAUAUCCUUAAAUAACAUCUAGAUGUGAAUUAGACAAACUGAUUUUCUAACGUACCAAGAAAGAAAACUCGAUCAAAAACACGCCCCCGCUUCCAGGUCGCGAGAGUCGUCGCGCACACACACAUAGACAUAGACAUGCAUAUCCGUGUUUACGUAAAAUUCCAUUUCCAUCUCCAUCUCCAAUCAUAUUUGUCCAACUGGCACAUUAUUUAUGUUGUUAAUUAUAUACGCAGCAAUAUUAACGUACAUCAUCUCUUGUUUGCGCACGUCCGGGCCGCUGCCACGGCUGGUCCUGACCAACCCGAACCCUCUUCAUCACCCGCGCGUGCUUCCCGCCCAAAACGGUCAGUGCCGCAUUCAUGCCCGGCCAGAGCGGACGCGACCUCUCACUGGCGCCGGCAUUGAAGCGGCACGCCGGCUGAGAGAGCAUCGCCCGCGCCACUUCCAGGUGCACGCGGCUGCUCCGCAUUCAAAGGUCGCAAUAGCCGGCUACAACAUGCAUGUAAAAAGUUCUUGGGAGUCCGUGCUAUAGCUAGCUGUCCUCCCCCAACUCGUCAAUCUCUUCCAGUAGUGCUAGUACUCCAUGGCACGAUCCAUCGACAAGCAGGCGGGAAAGUUAUCGUAUACUCGGUUUGCGGUGAGUGGCAUGCCGAGCGACUGUGUGGGGUCGAGCCGUGGAGGAGGGUGAGACACGAACACGACAGGCGUGAUUUAAACGUUGGUUUUGCUCGAUGGCGUGAUCCAACGAAACGAAAUGUUGGUUUCUCUCCGUUUCCAUUUUUUCUCCGGAAAAAUGGAAACUUUCCACUCCAUUUUCAUUCCUAUUCCAAGGUUGCCCCGUUACAACAUUCCAUCAAAUACAAAGGAAAACUAACACGCAUGCUGAUGCAUCUCAAUGAUUCAUAGAUCAUAGCCAAUAUUUACUUCACAACUAAAGAAAAAAGUUGUGAGAGCGUGUACGAAAGAAAAACUACUCAUGGGGUCACUACGACUUAAACCCUAAACCCUAAACAUGAUUUAAUUUCCUGGCCAGGUAGAACCUGUCGAAGGAAAGACGGCUGGCACCCUCGGAUCAUACGAUGCUUUUGUGCAGUUCCACUAAAAUCGACCUGAGCAUCCCUGAUGGCAAAGAUAUGGAAGAAGUGUGAUUAGGAUAAUAGUAUUGGCACUAGUUCAUGAGACAUAAACUCAUCACAAGUAGAAGCCGAUACAAGUAGAGAAAGAUCGACAUGGAGAUGGAGCUACGGCAGUGGAGCAAGCCGGCUCCAAAAGGAAGAUGGACUACUUGGGACGUCGGGCUGUAGCUAGAAGGGCGGUUGGGACGCGGCAUCGGCCCAUACCGCGGUGACCCCCGAUUGGGACGCACCGACUGUGGGUUUUCUCCCUCGCCGAUGUCGACCGCGUCUACGCAGAACAUUGUUCCCUUCCCCCAGCUGCGGGAUCAGGCCCGUCGUUCUAUGCUUGUGAAGAGAGCAACCUAAGCAAGCAGGCUUGUAGCUUAGGCUCCUGCUAGUGUAUAUAUAGUGGUUUUCUUUUUCUCUCCAUAUCAACCAUUUUAUAUUGCGUACGUGUCAUUCAAGAGUGAAAUGAUGGUUGCUUCUUCCGACUAACUUACUGUGUGAUUUGACUGCUCCUUAGUGGCCCCUACACGUACUCCCCCUAUGUGUAUGCAAUAGUCACACGUACACAUGGACGCAAAAACGCGCGCGACGCCCUAAUGCAUGCAUGUCCGAGCACACGACGGAACACACACGGUCACGCUCAAGUGCUCAACCUAUACGUGCAUGCACACACAUACUCGGUCAGGGUGAGCUAGUGACCGUAUAAACACCGGAAAAUAUAUAUAUAUUUAGCGCAAUGAGCGUAUUAUGAAGUCCACUGACCGUAUUUUUACAAAUAUACAGUGACAGGCAGUGUAUUUAUCUCGUUUGAAAUUAAGCCAUAUUAACCGGAGAGGAGGCAGUAUGGACUAGCAUUACUUUGCUGUGUCCCAUCAACUUGCCGAACGAGGAGAAGGUUGCAGGACGGGAGAAGCUUGCGCGCGGUGGCUCGCAGGACAAGGAGAAACUUUUGAUUAAUGCUAGCUCUCCCUCGCUCAGGCGGUGCACGUGCAACAGUUAAUUCGGUGUCAGAUUGCCAGAAGCAUACACUAUACUACUAGUGCUAUUAUUGUUCGACUUCCCGAAUAGGCGAACAGCCAAGCGCAAAGUUUACUAGUACUACUACUAUAGUCUAUAAAGGUACGUACUAUACUAGUACUAGGAACCGGAUGGAGGAGCGUCUGCACUCUUAUUAUAGUUUUAAAAUGUGAUAAAGCAAUCUUCAACACAUUUGGUUCUCUUCGAGGGUUCUCGCAUGUGAUAAUGGAAGUUGAUUGCAUGGAACACUCGCCACAAUUCUCGCUUAAUUCUGGCUCAUAUCCUGUUACAAAUAGUAGCGCUCGGUAAUAUUUCCUCUUUUUUUGUUAUUCAGCAUGUAAACAGGUCAGCAAACCUUGCGGCGCAUCUUCGUGCGAACCGUGCUUGCUGCACUUUGAAUGUGGCCGAGAGCUGGCUUGAUGAAACACCUCGCUUCCUACUUCUUUUUUUGCAGGGUACCUCGCUUCCUAGUGACCAAUGUCUUGGCUGAUCGUCCUAAGAAUGCUUAUAUAUGAAUAAAGCUCUCUCAUUUACCCGCAAAAAAGAUUAAGCCAUAUUAACCGGAAAGGAGGGAGUAUGGACUAGCACUACUUUUUGGUGUGUCCUGUCAACUCGCAGAACGAGGAGAAGCUUGCAGGACAAGGUGAAGCUCGCUUACGCCUUUUGACUAAUGCAACCUACCCUCGGUGGACAUGCAUCAGUCCAUUCGGUGUCAGAUUGUCAGAGGCAUACACUGUAGUACCCAACAUGCGGAGUACCAUCAUUGUUCGACUUCCCGAAGAGGCGAAGAGCCAAGCGCAGUAGUACGAGUAGUACUACUACUAGAACCGCAUGGUGGAGCGUCUGUACUCUUAUUUUUUUAUCUAUGAUAAAGUACACGUUUAUUCCGGAGAAGGGCGGAAAACGGCAGCCCAACAUGUAAUGAAUGAUAUCGAUCAACCAACCAUGCUCGAAUAUAUCUUGGCCUCCGUGCGAGCCCGUCUGUGUGUUCUCGCUCCUUGUCUCUCUCAAGGAACGGCGGGUUGGCUCUUUGUCGUCAAUUGAGAUCGGUUUGCUCACACUCCUGUCCCACAUGUCAGUGAUAUGCCAAGAGGAGGUGCGUUGACCGACUAGCCAUACGCGUACUUGGUUUUGCACCUUCAUACUACUCCUCCCUCCGUCACAGUUUAGAGGGCGCGCUUCAUUAUGAUGCAUUUCUCUCAAUGCAUUUCCACCACCAGAGAGACUGUAGACGCGUUUGGUUUAAUGCUCAAUUAAUUAGGGCGUGGUAACCGCAAUCAAGUCCACAAUUUUCUCUCCAUGUACUGUACUACUACGGAGUGGAGUAAGUGCAUGCAUGUGUGUACCCGGGGUGGAAGCACUGCAUGCAUAUGUGUACGCAUUAUUCCCUCUAGUAAUAGACGCCGUGCUAUAACUACCAAUGCUAUUUUUCAGGCCGAUCGCUAGUCGCCUUGGUCCCACAGAUUUUUUUCUUUUUUCUCAAGCGCGCUGUAUAAACAGUGACAGAUGGAGUAGUAUGAGCGGAUUCAAAGAAGAGCAUAUUGAUGGCUGCUUCUUCAGAGCAACUUACAGUGGGAAAGGUGGGGCUUAUGAUUUGACUGCUCAUUACUCACUAUUAAUGCGGCACAACGACCGGGCUGAGUCUCCCAUGCGGUUGUGCACUACCCCCUCGGUUCUUAAAUAUACUCCGGAGUAUUUGUCUUUCUAGAGAUUUCAACGAGUGACUACUCAAAUAUUUGUCUUUUUAGAGAUUUCAAAUGGACUGGCACAUACGGAUGUAUAUAGACAUAUUUUAGAGUGUAGAUUCACUCAUUUUGCUCCGUAUGUAGUCACUUGUUGAAAUCUCUAGAAAGGCGAAUAGAAUAUUUAGGAACAGAGGGAGUACACAUACGAAGCAAAAUGAGUGAAUCUACACUCUAAAAUAUGCCAGUUUGAAAUUUGUAAAAAGACAAAUAUUUAGGAACGAAGGAGUAUAAUUUUGUGCAUGGCACAUGGACCCGGAUGAUGAAGAGGCUUCUGGCAAUGCUAUCAAGCUUCCAUCAUUUGUUUACAUAAUUGACGUACUAUACAAAUAAUUUUCCAGCGACAUGAAAUUGUACAAUGGUGUGAGCUUUCAGCUUUUGUUUCGCGUGUCUUGCCAUCGAUGCUCUUUCGGAAACAAUAAAAAACUAACUUCCUUGCUAAUGCAUGUCAAUUAUUAGCAGAUCAGAGCUAAUAAUUACAUCACAACUGAAGACAGAGUUGUGAGAAGGUGUUAAAUUAAAAUUGAUCCAUGCUUUCAUUGGCAGCAACGUCCCCCCAGCUCUAUCUAAAUCAACAAGGCAUGUUGGGAAAAAAAGUAGCUAUCUGGAGCAUGCAACAUUUCAAUCAUUUUGUGCAGUUCCAUUAAAAUAGAGCUGAGCGUCCCUGUUCCAAAGAUAUUAAGUGUGAUUACGAUAAUAGAGGACUGCUGAUGAAACAAUAAACACACAAAUAGAAGCCGAUCACCUUUGCAGUCUCUCUUAAGACUAACUAGUUGGAGAAGAUUAGGCUCGGAGUUGGAUGAGGAGGAUAGAGCAAAACCAAUCUCCCUUUGUGCAGUCGCACUGAAAUGUAGAGACGUUGCCCGUGUGACAUUUUAGUACAACUGCACAAAACACUCGUAAGAAAAAAGUGAUUUGUGCAGUUCACCAAAAGGUCGCAAUAGCAACGAGUAGAAAGGAAACAAUGACUGGCUAAUAACAGUUGAUGACACAUGCGACGACAAAAAAGAAGCAUAUUCCUUGUCCUAAGGGAAGAUAACAACACGGUUGUGUUUGUCUAAAACGGUGUGAGGACGAGAAUGCAAUAUGGAAAGUACGCCGGACGAGCUACGUUUUGGGCAAAGAACUAUGGAAGAUCCACAUGCAGCGACGUGGGAAGACGGGCAGUGGAGCAAGGCCGGAGGGGAUACCUGGAGGUCGUCGGGAUGUAACUAGGUGAGCGGCGGCGGGCGGAAUCUGCGAGCAGGUGGCGUAGGCCCUGCCGCGCCGGAGCUUGGUCAGAGAGAACGGCGUGUACCGCAGAUCGGGACGUGCUGCCUCGGCGCCGUCAAACGGAGAAACGAUGCACUUCCUCCCUUUCCCCCGGCGGACGGGAUGCGGCCGGAUCAGUGACCAACGGUGAGAGAGAGAGAGGCCACCGCACUCCCUUUCCCCCGGCGGACGGGAUGCGGCCGGAUCAGUGACCAACGGUGAGAGAGAGGGAGGCCACCGCAGCCUUGUGUGAGAUACUCUGAAGAGCGACAAACCAGGCAGGCAGGCUCCAUUGUAUAUAGUGAGCGGACUACCUUUUUCUCCAUAAAAAUCAUUUUAUAUUCUCUGUACGUGCCAUUGAGUGUUAUAACUUUAUUUAAAAAUAACACGGCAACGCGUCAAGUCGAACUUUGUUUCGUGCACGCGUGGUACACGACCUCCCUAGGUAAACAACCGCUACAGACGUUCAAAUUAGCACGUGGGCCGCCAUUUCGUAAAGAAAUGAGCUCCACCGUGUACCCGCGCGGGUGUGGCUGGGCACGAAGCGUGAGUACGUGCACGGUGCACCUAUUCUCUUCUUGUAUACGUACACCACCUACGUGGGGUUGUGUGAGAGAGAUACAAACCUNNNNNNNNNNNNNNNNNNNNNNNNNNNNNNNNNNNNNNNNNNNNNNNNNNNNNNNNNNNNNNNNNNNNNNNNNNNNNNNNNNNNNNNNNNNNNNNNNNNNNNNNNNNNNNNNNNNNNNNNNNNNNNNNNNNNNNNNNNNNNAACAUAUGCAAUGUGUGUGAAAUAGAGUCCUGGAUAUAACAUAUAUAUAGAGGGGGCGAUCCACGAUAAGAGAGUGGAGGUAUCAUUGGCUUGAGGUGUCCAUAGAAUCGAAGAGAGGGAUGAUGUGUGUGUGUGCGCGCGCGCGAUCGAUAAAGAGUGCCAUCGAAUUUGUGUGUGCCCACGUCAAAGAUAUAGAGUGGCUGGCCUACUGGAAUGUGAGAUGGGACAUGUGCAGUUUGUCUCUGUGGCAUGGAUACCUACCUGCAGCGCUCGACUAUCGGUGUGUGGUGGGGGAAGAGGGAGGCCCAAUUAACUAUAGAGGUACAAUGGCUGGUAUAUGUGUGGAGGAGGAGAGAGGCCUACCUCAUGUAUUAAGGAGAUCGAUCUGCCUCAUGUAUUAAGGGAGAUCGAUCGGCAUCCAUGCAUAUGUGCAGGAGAGGAAUAAGGUUGGAAGAGAGACAGAGCUAGAGUGUUGGAGGGGGUGGUAGUGGAGUUGCUUCUAACAAAUGGUGGGAUAGGCUUGCUAGACAAACGGAGGGCACGCCCGCAAUAUCAAUAAGAGAGGAGAUGGCUGCUUGUUGUCUGUGCACGUGCGUGUGAGAGACGGGUCAGGAGGCAUGCACGAAUGAUGAGGGGGGAUGAUGUGGCUAUGCUAAGCAGACGUAACUACAUAGGAAGAUCAAUCGCCCUUUGUUAGAGAAAGGAGAGACAUAACUUGUGAGGUAUGUCGAUCGAUGGGGGGGGGUAGUUAAAGUCGAUCUAGGUAUAUGUUGGGAGAUCGAUCGGUAUACAUGCAUGUGUGUGUUAGAAGCAAAUGAGGCACGAGGAGAAGGAUAGAGAGAGAGGGAUGCAUGUAGGAGGUGGUACGAGAGGCAUACUAUAUCGAGGGGGGAGGAGUGUGCGAGUACGAGAAUAAUGAAAAGAGUGGUGGGAGUGAGGCAUGGACGGUGACAAGAGAAGAGGGGAAGCUUGUGUUUGUGCUAGGCACACCUGGCUAGAGAGGCAUAUCGAUCGAUGUGUGCCGUAAAGAAGGAGCUAGGGGGCCUACACACACCAUGGGUGAACGACCUAAAGUGAAAAGACGAAUUUGCGCGAUGGAGCUAGAGAAUGCUGAGGGAGGGUGAGAGGGAUGCGGGCGUGUGCAUGCACAAGAGAAAGUUAGCGCUAGCUACAAAGAUAAGAGGGUUGUGUGGGUGUAAAAGACGAAUAGAGAUCAUAUAUACUUCAUUAUAAAAAGCGAAUUCGGAUAUUUGAAGAAUUUAUCAUAGUGUUUCAAACCGACGCAUGUGUGAAUAUAUAUAACGGUGAUACACAUGGUGUGGUUAUGAACAUGUUAUACUACAUUUAAUAUAUUUUAUCUCUACUCUUAUAAAAAACGGAGUUGUUGAUGAUGGUGUGGCUGCCAUCCUGCAUUAUAGACCGUCCGAUUUAUAUCUGGCGGAUAGCAAGGAAACUAUGAUGGUUGAAGUUGGCAACAAUCAUGAUUGUUGAUUCUUAUUGAAAUAGAGAAACGAAUUCAAAUUUAGUUCGAAUUGCAGCGGUAGUAUAGACAUUUGGAAUGCACUAAAAUGUUGGUAUGAGUAGGUUACAUGCAUUAUACAACAAGCGAAAAAAUUUAAUCGGACAUAACAUGGAUUCAUACUCCCUCCUUCCAUCUAUAUAGGGCGUAAUGAGAUUUUUAAGACCGCCUUUGACUAUUGACAAGAUUAAUAGUACAUGACAUGCACAAUGUGAAAAUUAUAUCAUUGAAAGAACCUUUCAUAGACGAAUUUAAUGGUGCACUUUGUGUAACUUGCAUGUCAUAUAUCAUUGCUCUAAUAUUUGGUCAAAGUUAGCAUCAAAAAACGCAUUAGGCCCUAUAUAGAUGGAAGGAGGGAGUAGCUUUGAAUAGCAUUUGUAUAGUAAAACGGGGCAAGACUCUCUUUGUGUGGUGUGAAUAGUUUUAUUUUUUUCGUUUUCUUUUUAGUUGAGGGAAGUGCGAAUUGAUUUGGUACGUACAAGUACAAUAUUACUACACGUUAGGCUUGUCCCUAAAAUUCAACCCGUGUCUUGUUAUAUCCCGAAAAUUCAGAUAUCGUGCUCCCAAAACUGGCGCCUUCACAACCCGCGCCUUGCUAUCCCAAAAUUACAACGCACGCAAAAACUCCCUCCAGCUGCCAAAUCCCGACACGCGAAAUCCCCCUUCUAACCCUGAGCCGAAAGGGCCGCUAGUUCAAAUCGGUGGGGGGUACUUUUGUAACACACCCUACAUUUUGGACAAGCGCGUCCCUAAGUCAUGCUUCACCCCCUCCCAUCGCCCCCUUUUCGCCAUUCGAAAUCCCAGGCCGCCAUAACCUCUCCGCUCCAGCCGCGAAACCCCACCCUCCUCCGUCCGCCACGUCACCGCUGCCCAGCCGGAGCCUCUUCCCCGAUGACGUCGUCCACCACAACAGCUGGACGUCCCUCGUCCACCUCCCCGGAUGAGGAUCCAUCGUCCAUCUCGCCGUCCCGCCGGUUCAGCCGCCCCGUCCUCCACCUCCAAGGAGCUGCUCCGACGAUCGCCUCGUCUAUCGCGGGUGCUCCAUCCCCACAGCGCCGCCUUAACCUGCUCCACCGGAACCGCAACAUCCUCACCGACUCCUCGGACGAAGCCGAGGCCUACUCGGCACCACCAAAGAGGUUGUACACUCAUCGCAUCGCACCUUCUCCUUAACUCGACCUCCCGGCGCCGAUGGUGCUCCAUCCCGCACCCCCAUGGAGCGGCUACCUUGAAGCCGGCGCCGCGGGCGACAUCUCCAUGGUGGCUCUCCCCCAGUGCGAGGCCCCUUCGGCGGCGGCGUCCAUACCAGCUGGAUCUGCUGUUGCCGCUCCGGCUCUCGCUCGCUCGCACUGCUGCUGCUGCUCUGGCUCUCGCUCGAUCGCUCGCUCGCCCAGCUGCUGCUGCUGCUCUCCCCCUCGCUCGUGCUGCUCCUCUGCUCCGAUUAAGCCACACUUCAGUCGACUGAAUCGACUUUUGGGUCAGUCGAUUUUCAGGGGUUGGGGGGCUCGCCGGAGUUAAGGAAGAACCACCCGCAGCGGGGACGGGGGCUCGGCGGAGAGGUACCCCACUAUCUAUCUUAGGGUUCAGGGUGGGGGCGGGGGGCCUAGAGGGCUGGCCGGGGCGGCGGUGGCGAGUUGUUUCAGGGUGGCGAGGCGGCGCUGGGGCCGGCGGUUCGGCCGGUGGUGGCUGGUGGCUCAGGGGGGUGCAGGUUGAAGAUGAACUGCAGGCCCUCCCUAAACUACAUGUCAAGUGCCUCUGUGCUACCAUUGCGUUCAGUUUCGACAGUAGCAUUCAGAUUCCACAGUAAAUUUCAGUUUCGACAGUUAAGUUCAGAGUCAACAGUUUUUACCUCAUCUGUUGUAGUCAGGUGGUUUUUGGUGAUGUUAAUUUUACAUCCAUUUUACAUCAUCUAUUGGAGAUGCUAUUAGAAUCCCACUUGAGAUUUAUGAUGUCUGUCUUGUGCUGCUUCAGCCUUGACGUCUUACGGCUCACCGGAGCUGCUCCAACGACAGAACGAUCCGUCACAACAGAGCAGUGCCCUGGACGCCGUCUACAGAUUCCUCAGAUCUUCCUCCACACCUCCGACAACCACCUCUGCCUCAACUGCUUCAGCGACCAACCCAAUGAUGCUGAGGUCGACACGGCUACGGCAAAGAGGUUGUACACUUGUUGCAUCACUUAUUACUAUACAUUCACGUCGAUCCAUUAGGGCUAUUUUGGUUCAACGGAAAAACGUCAAUCCACUGGUUGUUACCAUCACUCUAAAUUUCUGCAUGCUCUCCUUACAUAAUCUCACCAUAUUUUUUUCGUAUGCAUGUCAGAUAUUGUACACAGUCAUGCGGAACAUGUAGAAAAAAAGAGAAGAGUUUUGCGCGGCAAUACAAUGUCAUGCAGACAUCGCUCCAUGCUGGGUUCAAUGGCAAACCCUCCCCACCCCUCUCCAGA
RNAcentral lists this long non-coding RNA (62279 nucleotides) under Triticum aestivum (bread wheat). Its description in RNAcentral is "long non-coding RNA (TAES_LNC019417)". The record is from RNAcentral. Lineage: Eukaryota; Viridiplantae; Streptophyta; Magnoliopsida; Poales; Poaceae.